RNAcentral lists this long non-coding RNA (78481 nucleotides) under Vitis vinifera (wine grape). RNAcentral describes it as "long non-coding RNA (VVIN_LNC003997)". The record is from RNAcentral. Lineage: Eukaryota; Viridiplantae; Streptophyta; Magnoliopsida; Vitales; Vitaceae.
GCUCCACAAGUGCCUCAUCGAGGGCUUGGAUUGAAGUAGAGCCCUGGGUAUAAGCCGGAAUGAUCGGAGGGGGACGUCCGAAUAAGGCCUUAAAAGGAGUCAUUUUUAGUCCACUAUGAUAACUGGAAUUAUAACAAAAUUCAGCCCAUCCGAGAAAAGAGAUCCACGAGUGUGGCUUCUCAUUCGUGAAUGCACGUAAGUACUGCUCUAGUCCCCGAUUGACGACUUCGGACUGCCCGUCCGUUUGUGGGUGGUAAGUCGUACUAUGGCGCAAGGAUGUCCCGCUAAGCUGAAAGAGUGUCUGCCAAAAUUUACUCAUGAAGACAGGGUCGCGAUCGGAUAUGAUCGAACUCGGAAACCCAUGAAUCUUGACCACAAUUGUCGCAAAAACUUCCCCUGAUUUGGCGGCUGUGAACUGAGUUGGCAAAGCCUCGAAGUGCGCUGACUUGGUGAGACGGUCGACCACCACCAUGAUAACUGUAAAAUUGCAGGAAGGGGGUAGGUUGGUAAUGAAGUCCAUGGUGACUUCGUCUCAUACCAACGAAGGAACUGGGAGUGGCUGGAGGAGUCCAGCUAGUGCUUGGGUUGAAUACUUCGUCUGUUGACAAACUAAGCAUGCUGAAACAUAUUGCUCCACAUUUGCCCGCAUGCGUGGCCAAUAAAAAAAAAGUAGCCAAGCGAACCAAGGUACGUUUUACUCCACCAUGACCCGCGAAUGGGGUAGCAUGAAACUCGUGCAACAGUAGGGCCUUUAAGGAAGAGUUGGGGCUGAUGUAGUAUCUAUGCUUGAAGAACAACAAGCCAUCAUGAAGGGAAUAGUCCGAAGAGAGGGAACCCGUCGUGAACUGUUGAUGAAGGGAGACUAAGUCCGGGAAUGUAGAGUUUUCCUAACGAAGGGUGGUCAAAAACUCUAAGGAGGGGUGGCUCGAGAACGACAGACAUGAAGGCGCGGAUAGCGCAGGCUGUUCCAAUUCCUCUUCAUGGACCCGAGACAAAGCGUCCGCAGCUUGAUUAGCACGCCCCGGCUUAUAUUCGAUUCGAAAAUGGUAGCCCAACAACUUCCGGAUAUAAAUCUGUUGAUCUGGAGUUUGUACCACCUGCUACAAUAAUUCUUUCAUGCUUUUGUGAUCCGUUCGGAUAAUGAAAAACCUGCCCAAUAGGUAUUGGCGCCAUUUGUGUACUGCCUCAGCAAUGGCGUGAAGUUCCUUGAGGUAUGUUGAUGAAGCUUGUAGGCGCGGACCCAAUUUCUUGCUGAAAUAAGAGAUUGGGUGACCUGCUUGCAUGAGAACGGCGCCUAUUCCCACAUUAGACGCGUCAGUUUCGAUCACGAAGGUCUCAUUGAAAUCUGGCAACCGUAAAACUGGCGCUGCAACCAUUGCACUUUUCAGGGCAUCAAAAGCCACGGUAACCUCCGGAGUCCAAUUAAAAGCGUCUUUGCGUAACAAAUCCGUGAGCGGAGCCGCGAUUGAAGCAUAACUGUGAAUGAACCACCGAUAAUAGCCAGUGAGGCCGAGGAAAACUCGGAGGUGCUUCAAGGUGCAGGGUAUGGGCCACUUCAUCAUGGCAUCGAGUUUUUGCGGAUCGGCACGUACCCCGCCAGCAGAAACUAUGUGUCCCAGAUACUCAAUUGUCUCCUGGCAAAAGUGGCAUUUGGAGAGCUUGACGUAAAAACUACCCUUGUGAAGGCAAGUCAAAACCUGCUCCAGAUGAGUAACAUGCUUAGAAAUAAUAGUGUUGUAAACCAGAAUAUCGUAAAAAAAAAAAACGAUUACAAACUUGCGCAAGAAUGCAGCAAACAACUGGUUCAUUGUGGCUUGAAAAGUGGAUGGGGCAUUCAACAGCCCAAAAGGCAUGACAAGAAAUUCGUAGUGGCCCUCAUGAGUCCGAAACGCUGUUUUAUAGACGUCCCUAUUAUGUACCCUGAUUUGGUGGUAACCAGCCCGGAGGUCCAGUUUGCUAAAAAUAGUAGCGCCUCCUAAUUCGUCCAAAAGCUCGUCAAUGGUUGGAAUCGGGAAUUUAUCUUUGAUCGUUACUGCAUUGAGAGCGCGGUAAUCGACACAAAAGCGAUAGGUACCGUCCUUUUUUUUUUAACCAAUAACACCGGAGAGGAGAAAGGACUUUGACUUGGCCAAAUUAUACCUUGAUCAAGCAUCUCUCGAAUUAAUUUUUCCAUCUCAUUUUUUUUGGAAGUGUGGAUAUCGAUAAGGACAAACAUUCACUGGCUUUGAAUUAGGAAUGAGAUGGAUCUUGUGGUCAAUGGUGCAGUGCGGGGGAAGGCCUGUUGGCGGAAGGAACAGGUCACGAAAUUUCUGCAAAGUAGUAGAGAUUGCCACGAGCAAGGUAUUGGGAAAAAUAAGUGUAUUCUCUUUGGUAACCAAAGAGGCAGUUUUCAACUCUUCUGUCGCUAGUGGCUGCAAGACAAACAUGCUGUGGACAUUUGAACUGUGGAUCAGUGCCUGAAAUUGAUUAAAAGAAAUCAAGAUAGAGGACUGGUGCAAAUCCCCAUGGAGAAUGAUCGGACGCCCUUCCCAACAAAACUCCAUUGACAGGGCUGUAUAAUCAUGGGCAACACGACCCAAUUAUUGCAGCCAUUGAAUACCAAGAACGACAUCAGGUCCUUCAAUUGGCAGGAUAAAAAGAUUUAAGGGAAACACAUUCCCUUGCAACAUCAAAGCAACUUGGGGGCAAGUGUGCUGGCAAAUUAAAUAAUCUCCAUUGCCAAUGUAAACUCGAAAUUUAGGUGUUGGCUGAAUAGGGAGGCCCAAACGCUCCACCAGAGCCGGUUUAAUAAAAUUGUGAGUACUACCACUGUCGAUGAGCACAUGGAAGCGAUGAGACCCAAACUCACCAACUAAACGAAGGGAGCGGGGAUUACCUUGGCCUGCCAAGGCAUUGAGGCUGGAAAUGUCGCUCGUGACCAAGUCCUCGGCUGGUUCGGUUGCCACGCCAUCAUCAUCUGUAUCCUCAUCAAUAUCAUCCGUCCCUAAAAGAAGCAAAAAUUUGUUGCGACAACGAUGAUUAGCAGAAUAUUUUUUGUCACAAUUAUAGCAUAAUCCCUUUUCGCGCUUCUCUCGUAACUCAUUAGGGGUGAGGCGACGAAUAGGUAAAGCAGGGGCCGGAGCUAUGGGUGGUGUUUGCUUAUGCCCGACCGUUGUCGGUGGUGAGGCCGAAGCGGGGGUGGCUGUCUGAAACGGGCCCGUCGGAACGGUCGUUACAGCAUGUUGUCUAGUGGAACUCUCCGUGGACGUGUUGGCAGCAUUGGAAGAGGACCACUUAUGCCAAGGGCGAGCGCUCUACUUGAUCUCCUCACAGCGAGUUUCAUAGGCUCGAGCUAAGGCAAAAGCCUCCAUCAACGUGGACGGCCGUGAGAAAAGUAGCUCACGACGAAUAUCCGAUUUCAAGCCGGUAAUGAAAAAACUAAUCAACAACGGCUCAAAAAUUCCCAUGACUUUAUUCAUCAGGUCCUCGAAGGCCGAUUGAAAUUCCGCCACAAUCGAAGUCUGAGUAAGCUUAGAGAGAUUACCUUGAUGGUCUUCAUAGAGGGAAGCUCUGAAACGGUGCUUCAGACUGAGUAAAAAUGCCUUCCACGAAGACAACAGAUUAUUGGCCUUCAUCCAUUGAUACCAACCUGCUACCGGACCUUCCAUAUGGAAGGAGACAAUCCGCAGCCGGAGCGGCUCAGGUAUUCCAUGAAAAUAAAAAAAUUCCUCAACGCGAAAUACCCACCCGUGUGGAUCGGUUCCGUUAAACUUCGGAAUCUUCAUUUUCAUAAAACGUAAGGCAGUGGCUAACUCAUUAUCUCCAGCACCCAUCUCAGUAACAGGCGGCGGGCCGGUGGAGGACCCAGAAGACCCGCAGACGAUCCCGACGAUCCAUGAAACUGAGAACGGAACUCCUCCAGUCGCGAAUCCACAGUAGACAUAUAUUGUUGGAGUAUUUGAUGAAACGACAUCGUUUGGCUCUCAAAUUGAGCUUCAAAUUGAUCCUGCAAAGCCUUAACCGCUAAAAGCACAUCCAAGUCCGCCAUCAAAGGAGUCGAUGAAAGCACCAAUUGAUACGUUCUUCCUGCAAAAUGACCGGUUAGCACAAGGGCACUCUUCGAGCGAGUGUCAGCUCCAAUAUCUCCAGAACGAAGAAGGGAGAAAACAGAGAAAAGGUUGAGCAGAAAAAGGAAGAAUAAGGAAAAGAGAGAAAGUUCAGAUCUAAAAUCUCAUAGCCUCCAUCAUGCAGACCUCUCCCGAGAGUUUUAUGCCUUCUCUUGGGAAAAUCAAAACCAAAGCGACACAACCGUCUAACAGAAUUGGUUACAACCAGAAAUAGUAAAUUGCAGGAAAAAAAUAAAAAAAUAAAAAAACAAACCAAAAGAUAAAACCGGAGCUUCACGUCCCUUUCCUUACACGACGUAGUCGUUCAUCCAAGUUGGUGGUUUUCUGGGCCUGCGUGGGCCUGAGUUGGACUGGGCCUUGGAAUGCUUGGUGACUAGCUGAGUGGCAGCAUUGGGCUCUUCCGUGGGAGGUACUUUAGGUGUAUUGGGCUCUUCCACAACGGAUGCUUCAGUUGUCUGUACAUGUUGCUGUAAAGGGAUGGCCACGAAUGUAUCAUUCAUUGUUAGAUUUAGAUCCUUGCUAUCCCUCUGCAUUUUUUUUCUUGUUGAUAUUUUGGAUAUUUGUUGUUUUGCUUGGGGUGGAUUGUUGCUUGUUGAGAUAUAACCUUGAAUUCAUGUUUGUCAUCAUCCAUCUUAAUAUGCUCUGUUUCUAUUGUGAUUGCGGAAUGCUCGAGAAACCCCUCCAAUAUUUACACUUGAUGUUGUUUUUCUCACCUAAUGAGAAGAUUCACUGAUGAUUCAUGAUGUGAAGCUUCCUUUGAGAACCUUACUAUUUGUUUUCUGCUGUGCUCUGUUCCAUGUUUUUUUCUUCUUUGUUUUAGCUACUCUUUGUCCUUGGACCGUGUUCAAUGCAUAGAUGGUGGGAGAGGAGCAACUCUUGGUUUGAGGAAAGCUUCCUAGAAAAACGGGCAGAGAAAACUUUUCGGGGAUGGUCCGAAAUAGAGAAGAAAGAAGAAAUGAGUUUUUCUGGCGCUUAAGAGGAUUCCGAAAAUUUUUCGAAGUUGGUUGGUGCUAGUGCUGACUGGUGCUGGCUGGUGUUGGCUGGUGUUGGCUGCUGGCUGCCGCCGCGGGGAGGUGGUGAUCGUGCUGAAGCCAGGCGGGAAGGGAAGCUAGGAAGAAGAUGAAGAUUUGGUUUGGGCUUGAGAUAAGGCACUAGGCCCAAUUUUGUGUUGGUUUUGGCUUUGGGCUUGGGUUUGAAUUCGGAGCCCAGACCCAAGCCUAUGCUGAAGAUGAAGCCCAAAGCCCCAUUAUUAUUAUUAUUAUUAUUAUGCUAGUUUGGGCUUGGGUUUGGGCUUAUGGACUUGGGUUUAUGAUAUUAUCACUAUUAUCAUUAUUAUUAUUAUUACUAUUAUUAUUAUUAUUACCAUAGACAUUAUUAUUAUUAAUUCAAUUUUCCAAAUCUUAUUAUUAUUAUUGUUAUUAUUGUUAUUGUGAUUGUCAUUAUUGUCAUUGAAAAUCUAUAUUCUCGCAGUUUAAUCUCCUAAAGUUCAUCUCUUAUUAUUAUUAUUUCAAACUCUCAAAAUCUUAUUAUUAUUAUUAUUAUUAAUUCAAACUUUCAAAAUCUUAUUAUUAUUAUUAUUAUUAUUAUUAUUAUUAUUAUUAUUAUUAUUAUUUCAAACUCUCAAAAUCUUAUUAUUAUUAUUAUUAUUAAUUCAAAUUUUCAAAAUCUUAUUGUUAUUAUUAUUAAUUCAAACUUUCAAAACCUUAUUAUUAUUAUUAUCAUUAAUUAGAACUCUCGAAAUCUUAUUAUUAUUAUUAUUAUUAUUAUUAAUUCAAACUUUCAAAAUCUUAUCAUUAUUAUUAUUAAUUCAAACUUUCGAAAUCUUAUUAUUAUUAUUAUUAUUAAUUCAUACUUUCAAAACCUUAUUAUUAUUAUUAUUACUAUUAAUUCAAAUUUUCGAAAUCUUAUUGUUAUUAUUAUUAUUAUUAUUAUCAUUAAUUUAAACUUUCAAAAUCUUAUUAUUACUAUUAUUACAAAUUCAACUUUCAAAAGUCUAUGGUCUCGCAGUUCAAUUUCAUAAAGUUCGUUUCUCAUUUUCUUUAACAAAUUUCAAUUUAAUUACCGGAGCUCUAAUAUUUUAAAUUUAAUUCCAAAUACUCAAAUUUUCAAAUAAGCUCCAAAGAAUCCAAUUUUCACUCAAACAGUUUUAAUUCUACUUCGGCUCUCAAAUAAACCUUUUGUUUUUCUUGGUUCUACAUAAGCAUGAAUGGAAUUUGUGAGACUAAUUCGUGCAAGAUAGAUCGAGCUUUGGUGGGAGCCCGACACAUAUGAUUUUAUGAUCGAUUGAUUGAUUGACUGAUUUAAUUGUCAUGCGUGAUUGAUUUGUUCUGCUUUGUGAUAUGUAUAUAUUCAUCCCAUAUAGAUUUACUAACCCCCCUCUUGAUAGCGCAUAUUGGUUCGCCACCUAGGUAUGUAUUUUCUCGCAUCAUGGUCACUCCUUGUGCUUGUUUUAAUUCUCAUACGUGCAUGAUCGAUUCGAGUAUUCAUUGUUUUUCUCAUCAAUUGUCACAUCAGCUUCAUUUUAUUAGUAGAGACCCGACUUUAGGGACUUAGAGGGGUGCUAUGGUCUUUACCGUACCUUCCCGAUAAGUAACCUGACCCCCGAGCCCGAUCCGGUUUUUCGUAAGAUCACCUUUUCCAAAAUAAGGAGUCGCACUUAGGGUUUUCUUUCUUAUUUUGUUUACCCUUUUAAAAAUAAAACAAAAAUAAGUGGCGACUCCAAGUCAUUUUCAAAUAAUCAAUAAAAAAUCAAUUUUUCAAAUAAAAAUCGAGCUCACCAUCGAGUGGAAAACGCAUGAACCAAAAUGCGGGGUCCACACAUGGAUACAAAGAUUAAAAGAAUAAAACAAUAUUCACAAAAAUGAUGACAAAAUAAAACUACAAUAAUGUUCAAAACAAAUGACAAUAAAAUUAUACAAAUUGAUUUAUUGAACUAAUUAGAAAAAAUGAUAUUUGAAAGAAUUAGUUUUCCAAAAAUUUCAAAUUUAUUAAGAACAAUUUUGAAUUAGUGAUUUCAAUUUAUUUAUUUACAAAAAAAAAUUAAUUUAUUUUCGAUUAAUGAUUUGACUCGAUUUUAUUUGUAUUUAAUUUUCAAAAAAAGUUAUUUACACUUAUUGUAUCAAAAAAAUUUAUAACAAAAUUUAAAUUUGGUAACAAAAUUAAUUUUACUUACUUUUAUCAUAAAGGAAUGAAUUUUCACAUUUUUAUUUAUAAAAGUAUUUUGAUUCAUUUUCAUUUAAAAAAAAUGAUUUAUACAAAUUAUUAAAAAAAAAACACACAACUUUAUUUGCAAAAGAAUUUUUAAUUAAAAAUGAAUUUUUGGGACAACUUUAUUUACAAAACAAUUUUUAGACAAUUUUUAUUAAAUAAAGAAAUUUUUGGAUAAUUAUUAUAAAAAACAAUUUUUCAAAUUCUAUUAAAUUUUUUUUUUUGGAUUUUUCUAAAAGCAUUUUUCUAAAUUUUUUAACAAAAAAAACUUUCAUUUAUUAAGAAGAAUAUUUUAAAAUUUUUAUUUUACUAGAUUAUUCCUCUUAUUUAACCAGAAUUUUUUAUUUGUUCAAUAUUCAAUUCCGUGCACACUUAAUAAAUAUAUAUAAACGAACUAAUAAAAAUAAAACCAAAUAUUUACUACAUUGUUCCUCUUAUUUAACCAAAAUUUUUUAUUUAUUCAAUAUUCAAUAUUCAAUUCUGUGCACACUUAAUAAAUAUAUAUAAACGAACUAAUAAAAAUAAAACCAAAUAAAAGUGAAAAAUAACAAAUGUAAUCAAAUAAACUUACAAUAAGUUCAAUGUUUUUCUACAACUUUUCGAGUCUCACUUUCUUCCAGGAAAUCUUAUACUCCACACGAUCAUAAAUUCGUACUCAGUCAACAAAAUUGUAAAAUGGGUUUAUGCAAAAACAAAAAUAGUUCAAAUAUAAAUAUAUAGGAAUAUACAAAAUUCAAAACAAAUAUUCAAACUCAAAUUCAAACUUCAAAUUAGUUCAACAAAUUAAUUAAUCAAAAUGAGCUUAAAUUAAUAAAUAUAACCCAACAGAAAUAUUCAUAUCCCAAUAGCCUUAUUCCAAAAUUUUCAAGCUAAAAUACAAGCAUAAUUAGUCACACCCAAAAUAUUACAACACAAAAUAAAUUCAAUUCCACUUAAAUUUAAUAUCCCAUUAUCCAACCAUAAUUUAAUAAACAAACUCAAAUUCAAAACCAAAAUUAAACCCAAUUUAUGCUAACCGAAUUCACGAUCAAAACCAAAUCCAAUUCAACCAAUUCAAUAAACAAAUAACUAAAUAAAAUAAAAUUACCUUUCGUUUGAAACCGUGCAAUGGGUUUGGGUGUUGUGGGUUGUAGGGUAGAGAGAAACAAAGAAAAAUGGAGAAAAGAGAGAGAGAGAGAGAGAGAGAGAGAGAAAUGGUGGAGCGGUAGAAAUGGGUUUUGGGUGGGGAAAAUAGAAAAAGGAAGAGGAAUGAAGAAGAAGAGGGGAACCAGAUAUUGGAAGGGGGGAAAGGGUGUCGUAUGGGUGGAUGGGUGGGGAAAAUAGAAAAAGGAAGAGGAAUGAAAAAAUGGAAGAAAGAAAAUGGGGGCGGUCGGUGUGUGCGUGUUGGGAGUUGUGGAGUGUGUGUGUUUGGGGAGAAGAAAAAUGGAGAAAAGAUUGGAAAAAAAAAAAAAAAAAAGAGGAGCUGGAGUCGGUGGUCUGAGAAGUGGGGGAGGAGAGAGAAUGGGGAAGUGGGUGGAGUGGUAUAUCGAGAUUUGAAAAAUCUGUGGCAUUUUCUUGUAUUUUUGUGGCAUUCAUGAUCAAGAUGGAUCUAAACCAUUCAAGUGCCGUGUGCACAACUCCACCCAAAUACCGGCCAUUGAAGGCAACAUCUUCCUCCACUUGACGGGAGAAGUCAUAAACAUCUAGGAAAAAAAAAUCAAUGAUGUCAAUUCAUUUUCAUACAUUUCAUUUUUCAUUGACUCUCAUGCCUUCAUACUCAAAUCUUAUUACUCGGUCUUUAACUCAUAUAUUAUCCAUCUAAUUCAUAUAUGAUCGUAUUAUUUCAUACAUUAAUUUAAUUUUAUAUAUUUAUAAUUUCGUUUAACAAUUCAAAUUUCAUCGUAAAUGUCACGGGUAUAAAUUCAAAUUUUCAUUAUUAUAAAGUUUUCAUUUAAAUUUUUUUCAGGUGUCCUUUCUUCGGAAGGGCAAGAUCCUACUCCUACCCCAACCCAAAGAAGGUGGCAAAUUUACACCUCAACUUUCUUUGAAUCUUCUUCUCAACUAUAUCCUUUAAAAGAGUGGAACGUUUGUGUUCCUUAUGAAAGGGGCUUGUUCCGUGGCAGUACUAAGCCUCUCAGGAGUCUUUUCUGAUUUGGACGGACCAACCUUCACAGAAAUUAAAUGGUUGGGAGUUGGGAGUUGGGAAUUGGGAUGGACCUAUUCUAAAGUCCAAGUCUCCAGGAGACUAGGACUUGGGUUGGGACUUCAGAUUUUUAUUUUUGAAGUGUUGGAGACUUUUAGCAUGUAGGGUGGUUUGUUGGAGGUAGUUAAUUUUUUCUUUUUCCUCUUCCAUCUUUAGUAGGGAGAAGAAAUAUGUGUAGAAGGAUGUCAUUGAAUUUAUAUUUGAUAAUUAUGUUUUAAAAUGAAUUUUUUUCAAUUUAUAAGUAUAUAUAUUUUAAAAUUUUAAUUAAAUAGCAAUUUACUUUCAAUAGGGGCGGAGCCAAUACUGGCUCCGGGCGCACUGCCUCCCCUCAAAUUUUAUAAAUAAAAAAUUUCCUUUGCUAAUAUAGGAAUUUUAGAAAGUUAAAAAAAAAUAAAUAGAAAAGCAAGUUUGCCCCUUCUAAAAAACUAAUUUUAUACUUGAAAAAAGAAAAUAAAUGGAAUAAAAAAAAUAGAGAAUCAUCAAUAUUAAAUAGAUUUUAUAAAAUAUUUGUUUGUUUGUAUUUUUAAAUUUAUUUAAUGUUAAUAAAAUUAAAUUUAUUUAAAUCCUAAUAUAUACAAAAUAAAUGGAACAAAAUGAAUUUUUAUAAUUUUAUAUUUGAUAUUAUAUAUAUAUAUAUAUAUAUAUAUAUAUAUAUAUAUAUAUAUAUAUAUAUAUAUAUAUAUAUAUAUAUAUAUAUAUAUAUAUUUUUGGUUAUAGGCUAUAUUUUGUUUAAUUUUGAAAUUUUUUUAAUGUUUAUAGUCUAUUUGAUUGUCAGUUUUCUAUUUUCAAAUAUAAAAAGUUGUUUUAUCAUUAUUAUUUGAAAACAAUUUUUAAAAAUAAAGUGAAAUAGAAAACAAUUUUUAGAAAAUAAGUAGAAUUUGUUUUUAUCAGUUUUUAAAAACUAAAGGAAAAUAUGAGUCUAUUUGACCAUGUUUUCUGUAAUUUGUUUUUAAUAAUUGUUUUUCAUUCUUUUAACUUAAAAGUGGUUUUUAAAAAUAAAUUUUAGAAAACAUAAUCAGUCAGACUUUUAGGUUUAAUCAAGUAGUUAUUAAUUCAUAAAUAUGUACACAAUUAUUCAAAUAUAUGUUACUUCAUUGUUGAUGAAAUUUAAUUUUGUUUCAAUAUUUGAUAUUUUAUUAAACAUAUAUUUUUAUUGUUAGGUUAUUUUUAGUUUAAUUUAAAGAUUUUUAUACAUGUUUAGAUUUUAGGUUAAAUAAAACAUUUAUUAAUUUAGAGUUGAUUACCUAAAUUUUAAUAAUGACAUUAUAAUUACAUUAUAGAUAACUUUUAAAUAAAAAAUUUAUCAUUUUAAAAAAUCCAAAAAAAAGUAUUAGUUAAAUUAUUAAUUUUUUCCAAAAUUUCUCUAGCAAAAUAUUUCUAAAAAUUUUGGUCAAAUUUCUUACUAACUUAAAAAAAAAAAAAAUUCACAAACACUAUUUGAAUUUUUUUGAUAAACUUUUAAUAAAAUCUAAGACUCUUUUUUCAAUGUUUUUAGUAUUUUUGUUAUUUAAUUUUUCAUAUUAUAAAUUCCUCUUUUCUUUUAUUGAAUCAUACCGAUGUUACCAUUUUUAAAAUAUGAAAAUUUAUUUAUAAUUAUUAUAAUAUUCAAAUUUUUUAUUCCCCUCACACCAAAAUUUCUGGCUCUACAACUACUUUCAAUAUAUCAUAUGAUGAAAAAUAUAGGCAAUGUUUGAGAAUUGUUUUCAAGAAUAGUUUUUUAGUUUGUAUAUAUAUAUAUAUAUAUAUGUGUGUGUGUGUAAAUGUAAAUAGUUCCCAAAAUAAAUUUUUGAGAAAAAAUGGAAAUUAUAUUUGCAUCCACCAAAUUGAUAUUUGUAUCUAUUCUAUUUACACAUCAACUUAUGAUUUUAAACAUUUUGCAAAAUAGGCUCACAAAUUCCUUCAUGCCCUCAUACAAAAAAGGGUAUAGGUACAUAGCUAAAUCAUCUCAAAAAAACAAUUCUAUGGUAACCCUAUUAAAGUGAGUGAUGAACUAAUUGUAAGGAGAAUUCUUAGAUGUUGAUAUUGUUGUCAACAAUAUUGACACAAUUAUGUUUAUGUCUAGGAUGUAAUGGAAUUUGUCGUUUAAAUGUUUUUAUAUUAUGCUCAUAAUAACCACAUUUAUCACAACAUUAUGUGCGUUUAACCUUUUCAUCUGAACAAAUUCUUUCAUUUUUUUAUCUUCUUACUAAUUGCUGGCUUUUAGGUGGUAAUACAACUCUAUAACAAAUGUAUUUAGGAAUUACCCAAUCUUUGUUAUUUCUAGUAGAAUAUAUAGAUUUUGAAUAUGAAGAUAUAAGUGAGUUCAUAUAGUAUUGAGAGCACAUAAUAUAACACGACUUCUUUCCGUAUCUACAUGUAGCAAUCAUAUGUGUACAUGAAAUAUGGUCAAGAUCAAACAUCCUACAUGUGCAUUAACGGGUCUACAAAUUAACUUGAUCACUUAUCCCAAUAUAUUUGACAUUGAACUCCCAAAAGUUGAUAGAGUCAACAUCAUAACUUGAUAAUUUAUUAAACCUUAAGUACAACUUGAGGUUAACCCAUGUGGUAAAGCUUAAUUUUCAUUGACAAUGUUUGUUGUUGGCGUUUUAAAAACCAUCUUUGAAGUAAGUUUCUCAACUCUUCGACCAUUCUCAUAACUGAAAGAUCUCUUGCAUCUUUUAAUGCAACAUUCAUGCACUCAACAAUCUUGUAGUUAUGAUAUUAUAUUUGUUUCCAUUAUUAUGUGACCGAGCCUAUUGCUUAAUUCCUACAUCCGCUAAAUAAAUGGUUGCUCUAAUUUUCCAUGCAUGUGAUUUAUUACUUAUUAUUAUUUGACCUUGUCAUAUGGAUAAAACUUUUCAACUUCUUUUGAAUUAACUUUUCACUUUUUCACAUUUUAAAACUUAUUUUUUAAUAACUAACAAUGAAUAUUUUUUUUUACCAACAAUGGUGAAAUAAGGUUUUAAAUUUCUAGGAAACAAAAAGAAAUAAAAUGAUAAUAUAAAAAAAAAAAAGUUGGUUGCUUACAUUUUUAACAUCUUUCGUGACUAAAAAUAAAGAGCAGAUGAAACAAUAGUGAGAAUUUAGGCUUUUUCUUAGUUGGGACACAAAAAGAAGGAGCAAAUAGAUGAUCAAAUAAAAAAAUAAAAAGCUAAUCUACUAUAAAACGGAGGGAAAGAGAAAAUUAUGUUGAAGGGAAAAAAAAAGGGUAUUUUUUGUCCUAAUUGGAUAAUUUUUUCUACUUUUUGAGGGAUAAAUUAUUCUUUUAAAUAUGAGAGUUAUUUUAAUCCCUUUUAACCAAAUAACCCAAAUUUAAAACGGUUAGAAAAGGUAUUGAGAAGUUGUUUUGAAAGCUUAAAGCUGUGUCAAAAAUGGUCAAUGGGCUUGUACCUCCAACUUUUCCACCUUAGAAAAGCCUUAGGAUUCAGAGAACCUUAUCUAUGAAUUAGGUGAAAAGGAAUGCCUUUCCCCUCUAACCAUUAUUAAAGCUAGCGAAGCAUAAGAAGAGUCCACGUUUUUCCCCCACAAGAAAGCUAAAAGUUAGCUCAAAAGCCUCAUAAGUCUCCUAGGAAAACUUAUUAUCUAUGAAUGGCAGCAUUUUUAAAAAUAGUUUUUUUCAGCUUAUUAUCUAUGAAUGGAGGCUUAAUGCAAAACUUUUCAAGAGUAUUUUGUUAUAUUUUCAAUUGAUUCUCAUAAUACUUAACAAAAAAAAGCCUUAAAACAUAUCAUAUUUGUUCUUAAAAAAUAACCAUUUUUCAAAAAAUUAUUCUUAGUAAAAAGUUUGUCAAACACUUUUUUAAAAUUGGAGUUAGGUUUUCUAUUUUGACAAAAAAAAUUAUUUUCAAAAACUGUUUCCAACCACUAAUUUAAUUUAAAAACUUUAAUUGUUAAAUGAUAUACCAACUACAUAUAUUGAAACCGUGCAAUGGGUUUGGGUGUUGUGGGUUGUAGGGUAGAGAGAAACAAAGAAAAAUGGAGAACAAAAAAAAAAGAGAGAGAAAUGGUGGAGCGGUAGAAAUGGAUUUUGGUGGGGAAAAUAGAAAAAGGAAGAGGAAUGAAGAAGAAGAGGGGAACCAGAUAUUGGAAGGGGGGAAAGGGUGUCUUAUGGGAUGGGUGGGGAAAAUAGAAAAAGGAAGAGGAAUGAAAAAAUGGAAGAAAGAAAAUGGGGGCGGUCGGUGUGUGCGUGUUGGGAGUUGUGGAGUGUGUGUGUUUGGGGAGAAGAAAAAUGGAGAAAAGAUUGGAAAAAAAAAAAAAAAAAAAAAGAGGAGCUGGAGUCGGUGGUCUGAGAAGUGGGGGAGGAGAGAGAAUGGGGAAGUGGGUGGAGUGGUAUAUCGAGAUUUGAAAAAUCUGUGGCAUUUUCUUGUAUUUUUGUGGCAUUCAUGAUCAAGAUGGAUCUAAACCAUUCAAGUGCCGUGUGCACAACUCCACCCAAAUACCGGCCAUUGAAGGCAACAUCUUCCUCCACUUGACGGGAGAAGUCAUAAACAUCUAGGAAAAAAAAAUCAAUGAUGUCAAUUCAUUUUCAUACAUUUCAUUUUUCAUCGACUCUCAUGGCUUCAUACUCAAAUCUUAUAUAUUAUCCAUCUAGUAUUAUUUCAUACAUUAAUUUAAUUUUAUAUAUUUAUAAUUUCGUUUAACAAUUCAAUUUUUUCCUAAAUGUCACGGGUAUAAAUUCAAAUUUUCAUUAUUAUAAAGUUUUCAUUUAAAUUUUUUUCAGGUGUCCUUUCUUCAGAAGGGCAAGAUCCUACUCCUACCCCAACCCAAAGAAGGUGGCAAAUUUACACCUCAACUCUCUUUGAAUCUUCUUCUCAACUAUAUCCUUUUAAAGAGUGGAACGUUUGUGUUCCUUAUUAAAGGGGCUUGUUCCGUGGCAGUCACCUAAGCCUCUCAGGAGUCUUUUCUGAUUUGGACGGACCAACCUUCACAGAAAUUAAAUGGUUGGGAGUUGGGAAUUGGGAUGGACCUAUUCUAAAGUCCAAGUCUCCAGGAGACUAGGACUUGGGUUGGGACUUCAGAUUUUUAUUUUUGAAGUGUUGGAGACUUUUAGCAUGUAGGGUGGUUUGUUGGAGGUAGUUAAUUUUUUCUUUUUCCUCUUCCAUCUUUAGUAGGGAGAAGAAAUAUGUGUAGAAGGAUGUCAUUGAAUUUAUAUUUGAUAAUUAUGUUUUAAAAUGCCUUUUUUCAAUUUAUAAGUAUAUAUAUUUUAAAAUUUUAAUUAAAUAGCAAUUUACUUUCAAUAGGGGCGGAGCCAAUACUGGCUCCGGGCGCACUGCCUCCCCUCAAAUUUUAUAAAUAAAAAAUUUCCUUUGCUAAUAUAGGAAUUUUAGAAAGUUAAAAAAAAAUAAAAAUAGAAAAGCAAGUUUGCCCCUUCUAAAAAACUAAUUUUAUACUUGAAAAAAGAAAAUAAAUGGAAUAAAAAAAAUUAGAGAAUCAUCAAUAUUAAAUAGAUUUUAUAAAAUAUUUGUUUGUUUGUAUUUUUAAUUUUAUUUAAUGUUAAUAAAAUUAAAUUUAUUUAAAUCCUAAUAUAUACAAAAUAAAUGGAACAAACUAUAUAUAUAUGGUUAUAGGCUAUAUUUUGUUUAAUUUUGAAAUUUUUUUAAUGUUUAUAGUCUAUUUGAUUGUCAGUUUUUUGUUUUCAAAUAUAAAAAGUUGUUUUUAAAAAUUUCUAACAUUGUUUUAUCAUUAUUAUUUGAAAAAAAUUUUUAAAAACAAAAUGAAAUAGAAAAAAAAUUUUAGAAAAUAAAUAGGAUUUGUUUUCAUCAAUUUUUAAAAACUAAAGGAAAAUAUGAGUCUAUUUGACCAUGUUUUCUGUAAUUUGUUUUUAAUAAUUGUUUUUCAUUCUUUUAACUUAAAAGUGGUUUUUAAAAAUAAAUUUUAAAAAACAUGAUCAGUCAGACUUUUAGGUUUAAUCAAGUAGUUGUUAAUUCAUGAAUAUGUACACAAUUAUUCAAAUAUAUGUUACUUCAUUGUUGAUGAAAUUUAAUUUUGUUUCAAUAUUUGAUAUUUUAUUAAACAUAUAUUUUUAUUGAUAGGUUAUUUUUAGUUUAAUUUAAAGAUUUUUAUACAUGUUUAGAUUUUUAGGUUAAAUAAAACAUUUAUUAAUUUAGAGUUGAUUACCUAAAUUUUAAUAAUGACAUUAUAAUUACAUUAUAGAUAACUUUUAAAUAAAAAAUUUAUCAUUUUAAAAAAUCCAAAAAGAAAGUAUUAGUUAAAUUAUUAAUUUUUUCCAAAAUUUCUCUAGCAAAAUAUUUCUAAAAAUUUUGGUCAAAUUUCUUACUAACUUUAAAAAAAAAAAAUUCACAAACACUAUUUGAAUUUUUUUGAUAAACUUUUAAUAAAAUCUAAGACUCUUUUUUCAAUGUUUUUAGUAUUUUUGUUAUUUAAUUUUUCAUAUUAUAAAUUCCUCUUUUCUUUUAUUGAAUCAUACCAAUGUUACCAUUUUUAAAAUAUGAAAAUUUAUUUAUAAUUAUUAUAAUAUUCAAAUUUUUUAUUCCCCUCACACCAAAAUUUCUGGCUCUACAACUACUUUCAAUAUAUCAUAUGAUGAAAAAUAUAGGCAAUGUUUGAGAAGAAUAGUUUUUUAGUUUAUCUAUAUAUAUAUAUAUAUAUAUAUAUAUGUGUGUGUGUGUGUGUGUGUGUAAAUGUAAAUAGUUCCCAAAAUAAAUUUUUGAGAAAAAAUGGAAAUUAUAUUUGCAUCCACCAAAUUGAUCUUUAUAUCCAUUCUAUUUACACAUCAACUUAUAAUUUUAAACAUUUUGCAAAAUAGACUCACAAAUUCCUUCAUGCCCUCAUACAAAAAAAGGUAUAGGUACAUAACUAAAUCAUCUCAAAAAAACAAUUCUAUGGUAACACUAUUAAAGUGAGUGAUGAACUAAUUGUAAAGAGAAUUCUUAGAUGUUGAUAUUGUUGUCAACAAUAUUGACACAAUUAUGUUUAUGUCUAGGAUGUAAUGAAAUUGGUCGUUUGAAUGUUUUUCUAUUAUGCUCAUAAUCAUCACAUUUAUCACUACAUUAUGUGCGUUUAACCUUUUCAUCCGAACAAAUUCUUUCAUUUUUUUAUCUUCUUACUAGUUGCUGACUUUUAGGUGAUAAUACAACUCUAUAAAAAAAUGUAUUUUUAGGAAUUACCCAAUCUUUGUUAUUUCUAGUAGAAUAUAUAGAUUUUGAAUAUGAAGAUAUAAGUGAGUUCAUAUAGUAUUGAGAGCACAUAAUAUAGCACGACUUGUUUCCGUACCUACAUGUAGCAAUCGUAUGUGUACAUGAAAUAUGGUCAAGAUCAAACAUCCUACAUGUGCAUUAACGGGUCUGCAAAUUAACUUUAUCACUUAUCCCAACAUAUUUGAUAUUGAACUCCCAAAAGUUGAUAGAGUCAACAUCAUAACUUGAUAAUUUAUUAAACCUUAAGUACAACUUCAAGUUAACCCAUGUGGUAAAGCUUAAUUUUCAUUAACAAUGCUUGUUGUUGGCGAUUUGAAAACCAUCUCUGAAGUAAGUUUCUCAACUCUUUGACCAUUCUUAUAACUGAAAGAUCUCUUACAUCUUUUAAUACAACAUUCAUGCACUCAACAAUUUUGUAGUUAUGAUAUUUAAGAAAACAAAGGUUAUGUUUAGUUAAGAAAAACACCCAAAAGGAGGGGAGGGGAGGGGAGGGGGGGGGGGGGGUGAAUUGGGUUUUUAAAAUCUUUUCAAUCACAACAAAAUUAAACAAAAGAUAAGCAAAGUAAAGAGAUAGAGUUGAGAGAAUUCAAUCUCGGGUUUAUAGUGGUUCGAAAAUUCCUUGCCUACAUCCACUCUCCUCAACCUCCUAACCGAGUGAGGGUUCCACUAACUUGAAGCUUCAACUAAGCUUCCAAUCUUCUUACACUUGGAUUCCGGCUCCAAUGGGCUCUUACACAACCUCUUCAAGAUUCAACCCUCUUGAAGGCUUUAACACUCGGAUUGUUAUAAGAUAUAAUCACUCAACCUAGCUUAAAGAUGACUCAAAUACAAGACAAGGCUAGGAUGAUAAACAAGAGUGCACUAAAGGAUAUGUAAGUGGUGAUUUAAUGCACAAUGAAGGAAAUAAUAGCUUUUUGAUCAAGAACAGGUAGGUAGGCUUUGAAUGCAAUUGUUCUCUUGUCAAUAAAUGAAGUGGAACUCUCAAUUUAUAGGUUUCUAAGCUCGAGAGUCAAAAUCAGCAAAAGGCAACCUCGUCCGAUCGAGAUAGGGGUCGACCGGUUCACUAGUCGUUGGAGCAUUUAAUUCAUGACAGGUUACCAUUGCCUCAAUCAGACCUCGACCGGUAAAUGAAUCACCUCGACCGGGAAGAAAAGGCUACUGGGAGAAAGAGAAGGUUUUUUAACCUUCCUCGACCGGUCCUCGAUCGGACGACCUCAACCGGUCGACCGGUUGAUCCUUUUUAGCCCCGAAAAACCUAUUUUUUGAUUCAUUUCUUUUCUAACACUUAGACAAGGUCUUUAGGUAAAUUAUUAAGCCAAUUUUGAAACAUUUAGCCUAAGGUAAAUUAGUUAAAAACUCGGGUUUUAAUGAAAUCAACAUUUUAAAUAAUAAACCGAGUUUUCUAAGAUGCAUGAAAACAUAUGAAAAUCCUAAGUGCACUCAUGCAUUCAUCUUACAUUAGUUUCCUAUGAUCUCAAGUCUUCCAAGCAUCUUGAUCUUGUAUCCAUUUGGUCAUUUGAUGAAUUUUCGAGUUUAUACUUGUGAUUCUUAAAUAUUAAACCAAUUAGUUACUUAACCAUAGUUUGUUAUCAUCAAAACCCGAUUAAGAGAACCUUUGGGCUAACAAUAUUAUAUCUUUUGCCAUUAUUAUGUAACCGAGCCUAUUGCUUAAUUCCUACAUCCGCUAAAUAAAUCGAUUUCUCUAAUUUUCCAUGCAUGUGAUUUAUUACUUAUUAUUAUUUGACCUUGUCAUAUGGAUAAAACUUUUCAACUUCUUUUGAAUUAACUUUUCACUUUUUCACAUUUUAAAACUUAUUUUUUCAUAACUAACAAUGAAUUUUUUUUUACCAACAAUGGUGACUAAAAAGAAAUAAAAUGAUAAUAUAAAAAAAAUAUUGGCUGCUUACAUUUUUAACAUCUUUCGUGACUAAAAAUAAAGAGUAGAUGAAAUAAUAGUGAAAAUUUAGGCUUUUUCUUCUGGACACAAAAAAAAAAAAGAGCAAAUAGAUGAUCAAAUAAAAAAAUAAAAAGCUAAUCUACUAUAAAAUGGAGGUAACGAGAAAAUGAUGUUGAAGGGAAAAAAAUUGGGUAUUUUUGUCCUAAUUGGAUAAUUUUUUCUACUUUUUGAGGGAUAAAUUAUUUUUUUAAAUAUGAGAGUUAUUUUAAUCCCUUUUAACCAAAUAACCCAAAUUUUAAACGGUUAGAAAAGGUAUUGAGAAGUUGUUUUGAAAGCUUAAAGCUGUGUCAAAAAUGGUCAAUGGGCUUGUACCUCCAACUUUUCCACCUUAGAAAGCCUUAGGAUUCAGAGAACCUUAUCUAUGAAUUAGGUGAAAAGGAAUGCCUCUCCCCUCUAACCAUUAUUAAAGCUAGCGAAGCAUAAGAAGAGUCCACGUUUUUCCCCCACAAGAAAGCUAAAAGUUAGCUCAAAAGCCUCAUAAGUCUCCUAGGAAAACUUAUUAUCUAUGAAUGACAGCAUUUUUAAAAAUAGUUUUUUUCAGCUUAUUAUCUAUGAAUGGAGGCUUAAUGCAAAACUUUUCAAGAGUAUUUUGUUAUAUUUUCAAUUGAUUCUCAUAACACUUAACAAAAAAAAGCCUAAAAACAUAUCAUAUUUGUUCUUAAAAAAGAACCAUUUUUCAAAAAAUUAUUCUUAGUAAAAAGUUUGUCAAACACUUUUUUAAAAUUGGAGUUAGGUUUUCUAUUUUGACAAAAAAAAUUAUUUUCAAAAACUGUUUCCAACCACUAAUUUAAUUUAAAAACUUUAAUUGUUAAAUGAUAUACCAACUACAUAUAUUAAGUUGAUUUUUUGCUAAAAACCCUAACACCAAACUUAUCAGGCAACCGCUAUUUUCUGAACUAAUUUAAUUUAAAAGCUUAAAUUGUUAGAUAAUUAGCCAUAUGUAUCAAGCCUACCCAUGCUAAAAGCCCUAACAACAUCAAACUCAAAACUUGAUGCCAGAGGUCUUCAUACUUCAACUUCAGCCUGAUUACUCAACAUACAGAGGCCACCAUCCUCACAAAGAAAAUGAAACUAAGCAGAACAACAAGCAUACAAUUAAUCUACCGCCCAGAUGCUAAGGAUCCAACAGACAUCACUCCAUAGGAUGAUGGGUGUGAGUCAGUUUUGGAGUCCAAUGAGCCCACAAAGAAACCUAAACUUGAAGCAUCAACCUCGGGGAGUGGGUCGAAGCCACUGAGAUAUCUUGUAACCUGCUGCAUAUUAGGCCUAGCCUGUGGCUCUGGGUGAGAACAGAGGAGGCCAACCUUCAAAACCAAUUCAAUCUCCUCCUUCACAUAUGAAUUCCCAAGCUUUGGAUCUGCAGCUUCAAGUAUAUGACCCCUCUGAUGACACUGUGUCACCCAAUCUUGUAGAAUCAUCUGUUUCCCGGACGAGGCAUUGGGGUCUAGAGGCCUCCUCCCACAUGCCACUUCUAGUAGUACUGCCCCAAAGGCGAAUACAUCGGAGCUUGCGGUGGCCUUUCCAGUGAGGGAGAGCUCCGGUGCUAUGUACCCCACUGUGCCCACCACAUGGGUGGUGCUGGGGUUCUUCCCAUGCUCAUAUAGUUUGGCCAGGCCGAAGUCUCCUAGCCGGGCAUUCAUAUUUGAGUCAAGCAGGACAUUGUUGGCCUUCACAUCCCUAUGGACAACUACCUGUUCCCAUUCUUCAUGUAAAUAUAGGAGGCCUGCAGCAAUCUCCUUGAGGAUCCUGAACCUCUGUCCCCAAUCAAGGUUCUUGUCUUCUUGAAACAGGAAGGUGUCCAGGCUGCCAUUGGACAUAUAAUCAUAAACAAGAAGGAGAUCGCCUUUUCGCUUACACCAACCUUGGAGAUGAACCAAGUGCCUGUGCCUCAGCUUGCCUAGGCUUGCAAUCUCUGCAACAAACUCCUUCACUCCCUGCUUGGAAUUGUGGGAAAUUCUCUUUACAGCAACUUCUUCUCUAGUCUUUGGCAGCACCCCCUUGUAGACGGAACCGAACCCACCUUUGCCCAGAAUCUGGCUCUCCUUGAAGCCCUUUGUGGCAAUAUAAAGGUCUUUGUAUCUAAACCUAUGGGGGAAGUCCAAUUCCCAAUCUUCCAGGACCUCAGCUAGCCUUGCCCUUCUUAGCAUAUACACAGAAAUGGCGAUUCCACACAGAAGCAACGCAAGGGUCACCAUUGCUGACGCUGCUCCAAUCUCAAUCCCUCUUCUCCCAAGGCCUGGAGAUGGGGUUCCAUUUCUUGGGGGAGAAGGGAUUUUAGAGAGAUCAAGAGGGUCUGCUUCUGUACUACCCAUCUUCAAACUCCACCCCAGAAUGUAAUGAGAGCUAGCAAGCUUCUCAGUGGCAGCUGAGAAGCCAACAUACAUGGACUCUUUAAAGAUAGGGGAUAAGUCCAUGGCUAGAGACAAGAGGGGUUUGCUUGGUUUAGGAAGAGAAGCAGGGGAAAUGGUGACAUUGACGAUUUUUUGAGCUCCAUCAUACUCGAUCCAAGCUUGGAUUGGAUUCCCACUCUCCAAAACCACUUCAUGAGAGGAUUUGGAGGAGUGAUCAUAGUAUGAAGCUGGCUUAGAAGCAUUAGACCUAACAGUAUUGAUGUCUAUACCAACAUGGUUAUCAUCGAUAUCUCCAUACAUAACCAGGGAUUGAACUGUAUCAAACUCAACCGCAAACAAAUGGUUGGAGAAGUUCCCCAUGGUGACCUCAUUAAAAAGACCAAAAAGAUUACCAAGUCCACCAUCUGAAAGGUUCUUGGUGGGAGAAACAGUGAAGACAAAACCAUGCCCACCAGACCCACCAGCAAACCUGGGGACAAUGGCAAAAACGAAGGUUGUGGCAAAGGAGGAAGCUGUGGUGGGGUGUUGGGAAUCAUGGCUGUUCUUGUUGAGAAAGUGAAAUGGGGUGUUGUAGAAGGCAUGGCCAGUGAGGUUGUGUGAUGAGUUUGUAAGCCUGAGAGCCCCAUUUGGCGUGAUGAGGGAAGCCCCACCAAGGCUUAAGUUGGAUGCAGAAGCUUUGAAGCCAUUGAAGACGAAGCCAUAAUCAGACUGAGAGUAAGCUUGAUUAAGGAGGAGCAGAGAGAAGAGGGGAAAGAGGAGAGUUUUUGCCAUUUCAGAUGGGUUUUUCUGAAGGGUAGAACCGUAGAAGACAUAUUUGUAGGCAAAUGUGAGAGGCAUACACGUCGUAUUCAGUUUCCUGUGGAGUUGUGGACAAAUGUCUAUCUCUUCGUACCAUAUUCAAAUCAGUAGACCCACUUCAAUUUAAUUUGCUUAGGUUGCUAGGGUUAAAGUGGCCGAUUUACAAGGUAAAGCAAAAUUUCUAGAAGAAAAAGAUGUUCUUUGAUUCAAAAUUUUCAAAUAACAGGCAUUUGUGUUGAUGGUGUGAAAUUAGCCUUCAAGAAUUUGUGCAGAGAUGAUGAUCUGCAUGCAGAAUAAUUUUGUGCAAGAGCAAAGAUUUCACACCAUCAAUAUUAUGAAUAGAAUGUAAUAUAAAUAGAAUGUAAUAAAAUCUCAUCUUAUUUUAGAAAAAAUAUUAUGAAUACCUAACUGUGUGGUACCACACAUUAGACAUAUAAAAUAGAAAUAUUGUUGAAAUAAUAAUUGGACAGGAAAUUUUCAAAUUUGGGAAAAACUAGGAAUUAUUAUUUAUUUAGGUUUUUUUUUAUGUUAAUUAAGAAUUUUAGUCUAAUAUAAAUAGAAUGUAAUAAAAUAUUAUUUUUAACAAAAAUAUUAUGAAUACUAGAUUAUGUGUGGCACCACAUUACUAGACAUAUAAAAUAAAAAUAUUAUUGAAAUUAUAAUCCAACCUAAAAUCAAAUUAAAAAAACUUUAAAAUUUUGAAAAAAAAAUAUUAAAUUUAUUUAUUUAUUUGGGUUUCUUAUGUUAAUUUGAAAUUUUAUUAUAAUAUAAGUAAUAAAAUAUUAUGAAUACCGAACCGUGAUUCCAACAAAUAUAUCUGCAAUUUGUGAAUGUGAAGGGACCGGUGAAAUUAAGUGGAAGUGAGAAAGUAACCUUAUUAUCCGAACCUCUAUUUCAUGAAUCCUAAGUGAACGCCUUUUAUACUUUGCAUGGGAUGGCAUAUUCAUUUGUCAAAAUAGAAUCAUGAUUAUCCUCGAAAAAAUUGAGUAGCGGCAACAUUUGACACUAGCAAUGGAAACAUAAUAAUAUCUUGCAUGAAAAUGGUAUUAUCAAAUCAAAAUCCAUCCCACUGAAAUUUAAAUAUCUGCUAUUUAAAAAGAAUAAUAAAUAAGACCAUGAUACAAAAUAAUAGAACUAAAGUGACAUAUAAGAUAUAGUAAUGAGAAUGAAAUAUAAAAUAGUAAGACUUAAUUAAACCCGUGACACUGCCUCAUUUAUCAUGGUUUAUCAUGUUUUGCCAAAAUAUUUAACUUUUUCUAUUCAGCUAAAAAUAACCUAUUGAUAUCAUCCCAUAUAACUAAAGUGAAUUUAUUAAUAACAAAUUCAUUUUAAUUAUGUUAGACGAUGUCAAUAAGUUACUUUUACCUUAAUAAAAAAAACCAAAUAUUUAUUUGACUUUUUCUAUUCAACCAAAAAACAAAUACCACCUUAAUAACUCUCAUCAAUUAUGCAAAUUCUAAGUGGUUCUUAUGGAGUUCACUUGUGAACGCAAAAGAUUAGGGCAUUGAGACCUCCAAUUGACAAUACUUACCCUCAUAAAUGAUCCCUCAUAGCGUUUUUCCUGAUGCUGAUGCUGAUACUGUAUUGUGAAGUGAGUUGUUUGCAAAUUACAAUAAUUGAUUUCUAAUAUGUGUCCCACCCACAAAGCAGAAAGCAAUACCUGUUCUUGCUCUUAGUGUUUAGUUCAAAUCUUUUCUUGAAAAUUUAAAUCCUUACAAAAAGGGAUUCAAGCACCAGGAUAUCAAAAUAAGCAACAGGAGAGGCUCCACUCAUCUUAUACAGGGUUGUUAAAAAGAGAGGAAUAACACGAGUGAUUUACUAUUCAACAUACAUUAUUAUCCUAUGAAAGUCAUAAAUGACAAUGUAUACAAAGUAUGGACAAUCAGAACUCCAUAAAUUCACUUCAUCACCAUGCUUUGCUGCUUAGAAAUCAAAGGGCAGAGAUAAAUAUUCUUUCACAGAAGUGAAAUCAUGUCAAAUAGAUUGAAAAGGUAACCAUUAUUAGUACUUGUUUACGAUGCUCUGCAUUUUUUUUCCAUUCAAAACCUCAAGGUUGCUGCUCAUCAUCAUGUAUGAUGAGAAUAGAGAUGGAAACUUCGCCUUCAUUGCUCUUUUCCUUCCAUCAUCUAAUCGUCGGCUUAUGGAAAACAAAUUCCCAUUUCUCACUUCCCAAUCAGCAUCUUUAGGCCUAUAUUGUUAUUGAUGUCAAACGCCAUUCCUCCAUGGCAUAUAUAGUUCGAAACCCAUGCUUCCUUUGAGGUCACUUCUCCAAAGCAAUCAAUCACCUUCUCAAACUUUGCCCAUUCACCCAAAAUUAGAUCAGAAUAAAACAGAUGGUUGCUUUCCCAACCACUUUUGCCCAGAUAACCCUAAAAAAAUUCCAAACAGAAUAGGUAGUUCGCCCUUUUCCUAAUCAAGGCAUUCACUGACUUUAGAUUUGGAAAACUUCACAAAAAGUGAUCAGCAUAUAUACUCAUGCCACUCAAUCCCAGAGAAAACGAACCAUUCUUCCAUUCCAAAAUAAUCUAACUGGUCUCUCCUGCACCCACAAGCUUUCUACAAGCCCUCAUUCCCUCAGUCCCUCUAGCCAGAUCAAAGACAAUAAUGCAUGAAAAUUCCAAAGGAUGCAACCCCAUUGGGGUAGAUUUGAAACUGACCUUCAACGCAAACUUUCUAAUCACUAUAGCCUUAUAAAAGUGUUCCCUCCUGCAAGAAAGCAAAUGUAACCUUUGGUGGAAGAAACUGAUCUUCAUGGGUCUCCAUUUUUCUUGUGGGUCCAUUAUGAAAUGGGCAUUUUGGUACAAGGGCAGUUGGCUUCAACAUACACACAACUAAAAAAAAAUUGAAAUAAGACAAUUUCUAUAAUUGCAGUUUAGAAAAUAUUUUGGCCUUUCACCAUAUUCAUUUUCUGUGGCAAUUGGCCUGUACCGAAUAAAUUUCACCCAAUAAUGAAAUUUUAGAAAUAAAAAUUACAAGGGAUUUGGAAUUUUUUUUCCUUCUCCCUUCUUCUCUUGUCAAAUACACUGCUAAACUAAUAAAAAGAAAAGAAAAAUAAUUUUUUAGGUUUUUGGGGGUUAUGAUUUGGUGUAUCAGAGGUGUACAUACGAACAAGAAGGGCACCUGAUCAGACCGUUCUCGUUGCACGCCGUGCAGAUCCUGAAACCAGUCUUCUCACUAUACACCUUACGGCUUCCAUCGCAGUUCUCACAGAGCAUGAACCUAUACCCUCCGCACUCGUCGCAUACGCCGGCAGCCACGGGGAACCCUCCGAGCAGCUUCUUCAGCUCGCCCGUCUCGUGCAACUGCCUGAUCUCUUCCGCUCCGCCCACGUACCUGCCACCAAUGAAAACCCUAGGCAAACUCAGCUUCUUCCUCCCCAAAAUCCCCUUCAACUCGUCCAAAAACCCAGCGUCCAUAGACAGAUCUCGCUCAUCGACCUUCACCCGAAACCCCCGCAAGAUCGAUCGCACGGUGCUGCAGUCCUCGAAGGUCUUGCGCACCACGCGUAGGCUCGUGAAGUAAACCACCACGCUCUGGUCGCCGCCGGUAAGAGACACACACGGCUGCGGCGGCGCAGGCUCCGGUUUCGGAUUCGGUUCCGGGUUGGUUUGGGUUGAGGACCAGUUUCGCAGGACCGAGGUCACAACCCGAACCCGGUGGAAAAUGGAGGGUCUCUUGAGAUUGGAAGAACAGUGAUUUUCCUCUUUACAGAGGCUUUGAAUGUCUUUGAACGAUGAACAAGUGAAGUUCUUAUAUGAAGCUGGUGCGGUUUGGACCCCACCCGACGAGCUCACCCACGAUCGCCACAUGAAUGGAGAGCGAGGACAGAGAGAGAGAGACGGAGACAAAGAGAGAUAGUCGCUGAGUAUCGGAUUUUAUAGAAGAGAGGGGUGGGGGUGGGGGUGGGGGUGGGGGUGGGCGCGGGAGAGGAGAAGGUGGGCUGUUUGGUUACGGUUGUUAAUGAAAGGGAGGUUGGGUUUUUCGAGCUGUGAAGGAAAGGUGUGACGCGUGAGAUAUGGAGUAAGGGAGUCAAGCUGUAAUCCUCUGAUUUUCUCUCGUAUGUCUGCUUGGUUGGUGGGAAAAUGGGUAUUGUGGUAUGUUUGUUAUGUCGCUAUGAUUGUGAUCUACACUGGGAUCCACAUUUGUUAGGAGAGAUUGUCGUAAUUAGGGGUGUAUUUUUUUUUAGUAAUGUUGAGUGGUUACGUUUUGUUAGCGAAACGGAUUUGGUAAUGUCAUUACAUAUUGACAUUAUUAUGAGGCGGCGCCCAUAUUAUUAAAGUAAAAGCAAAGAAUAAUGGUUACAAUUUUAUUUUUUUUGAACUACUAAUAAAAAAACCGUCUAAAAAGUAAAAACAGUUACUAACAUAUUUUCUUUGUUAUAUAUUUAUUUUUUCCUUUUUUGACUCAUUUUUUGAUGUCUAUCUAACAACGGCACGUAAGAAAAUUAAUUAAGGAGGAGAAAAAGGGAUUUUCCAUGGAAUUGAGAGGAGAUGAGUUGGAUGGAGGGCACGUGACAUGAAGUGAGGAGUGGAAUUAAAGGGGUACUUGAGAUUGUGAUCUGAAAAAGAAAGGGGGGCUUCAACUGCUAAGGAUAAUGCGGAGAGCAGCCUUUUAAGACGGGAGAGUGGAAGCAUGUGGAGACACCUAAGGAAUCAUUAUUCUAUGAGAGAUGCAUGUGGAUUGUGGAACAGUGAGUUGUGGAAGAGUGCGCAACAAGGGUGUCCUACACUCCUACCAUAUCUCCAUUUAUUUCCAUUAUGGUUGUAAGUGGGUGCAAGCGAGAAUCGAAUAUCGAUCGAAAUUCAAACCAAUACAGUUUAAUCAAAAUCCAUAGAUUAUAAUGGUGGAUUUGAUUUAAAAAAAAAUUAAAUUAAUUUUUAUGGGUUGAAUUUUUAAUUUAAUUUUCUUAAAAAUAGAGAGAAACUAAUAUUCUAAGAACCUAUUUGGGAAAUUACAUUUGACAUUUUUUUGGAUAGAAAAUAUUUUUUUUUUAAACUUGUUUUAAAAGUAAAGUGAUUAUUAGGAAAGUAUUUUAAUUAAUUUAUUUAUUUUAAGAAAUAAUUGUAGAAAUAUACAUAACAUUAAAAAUAAAGUUUUAUGAAUAAAAAUUAUUUUUAAGAUAUAUUUAAAAAGCAUAAAAAAAUCACUAUUUCUAAACAUAUUUUUAUUCUCAAAAACUAUUUUUUGAGAUUAUUUUCAAAUUAGUUCCCUAAGUCCUUAAGACUUCCAUGGAUAUUCAAUAUUCAAGUUUGAUACUCAACCCAUCUAUUUUUAAUGAAUAUAAUUAGAUUUCUAGACAAAAAUGAUCAGGUUUGUUAGGAUUCGAAGGGUUCAAAUGAAUCAAAUCUCAUCAUAUUCAUUCUAUUUUUGAAUUCUUUUCGAAGGCCUUAAGGCUUGGGCCGGGUCAGCCCAUGCCUAACCCUAGAAAGAUGCGGGGCCAGGUCAAGCAUCAGCCUAAACUUUUUUGGGUGAGCUUGGACCGAGUCACUGACAGACCUAACUUACACGCCUAGGCAUAGCCCUAUACUUUCAAUGGAAUUUCAACCUUUUGGGAGCAUUGGGGUUGUGUAAAGUCUAAUCACUAAACCAAGUCUUGUUAGAUUUCCAUUGAUAAACAUACUUAUAUUUGUUAACAACAUUAAUCAAGAAAAGCACCUCUAAUAUGAAUGAGAGAAAGAGAAAGAUUGCAGAGGAUUGAGUUCCAAAUUUCUCAUUAGCCAGUAGCCCUUGGUAUUCAAAAUGAUGGAGAGAACACAAAUAUCUGACCCUAAUAUUAUAGUCCUAAUUACAUUAAAAAAAAAAAAGUGGGAACUCUAAUAAUCUUGAAUAAUUUUCAUACCCUAAGAAGAGAGGAGCAGCCUCCUCAUUCUUUUUUGUUUUUCUACUAAUGUCCUAAGCUAAUGCUAUCUGGGCCAAAAACUUUCGUCUCUGGUGCAAAAAGGAGAGGCACUUAAAAGAAAACUAUGAAGUUGAGGUUCUCAUGCUCACCUUGAUUACAUCUUUGCUCCUCUUGAGAUGAGAAUGUCCCCGUAAGGCUCGUUUUGUUCAACUUUUAUGAAACCACGAGUAGCAAGAACUGCACAUAAAGCAUCCAGUUAUCAUUGUUGCUAAUCAGUUGGAAGUUGUUAGAAGAAGAGAUCUUAUUGUAAAGUUUGGAAAAUGCUACUACGGUUAAACAAGUAUAUAUGGGUGGAUACCACAAGUCUGAUAGAAGAGUUGAGCAGCUCUUGGUCUGUCCAUUCCGGAAGCAAGCUGGUCCAGGGAUUCUCUUUGGGGCGCUCCGGGUGUGUCAAAAUGUGUCUUCAGAUGCCUUUAAGAAGUAGCAUUUAGUCGAUUACUUAAUUCAAUUGAAUGAUAUUUUUGAACUCAGGAAUUCAACGUAUCCCAAAAGAGAAUAUUACAUUCGGAUUGAAUCCGUGAUCUUUUCAAUUGGGGGAGGGAUGAUUGGAUUUUGAGUCUGUGUUGGCCCCGUUUCCACCAACAGUUCUGGAAAACAAAAGGCAAUCGAUCAAACACUGAUAAUGGACAAGCAAAUUAAACUAGCCUGGUAAGAGGAAAGGAUUGGAGUACUUACCAUGCUCAGAUAGUUUUGACAACUUGAAAUUUGGAUCAGUAUGGUUAAAUGGAUGCUCCUCAUCCACUGGUUCAAGGCUACUCCCACUGUGUCUAGACCAAGAAUAAGGCCUUUUUUUGUUGAUUCUGUAACAAGCACUGAUGCAUAAUAAAUUUUUUACUAUAUGAAGCAUAAAAUGUAACUGAUUCACAUGCCAAGAACUAUGGGUUGUUUCUCAAUCUCCAAAAGAAAAUUUUCAAUGCAUUUUUUUUCUUCACUUUGAAUAGAUUUGAUGAUAUAUGUACUAACCUUCCUGAAUUUACUUCCGAAGUAUGAGAUGGGGAACCAUGUCCAGAUGCUGAGCCAGGGAAGGAUCUUACUUCAUUUACAGUGGCUCCACCUGAAGCAAAAACUAAGUUAUUGAAGGUUUUGAUUGUUAUCAAAUGAAACCUCAAGGUUUCACUCCAGCAUACCAGAAUUCCCAGGUGUGAAGACAGCCUCAGUUGUCCUUGCAUUAUCGUUCAUAAGCUUAGUUCUUAGUGAGGUCAUGAGGAUUUCAAAUUGUGAUUCAUUGUUGUCAUGAUUCGUGCCUCUUUGCUUCUCUAUGGAAACUCCCAGUGAUGGGGAACCAACUCCACUAAGAAAAUCUUCAAAAGGCUUCAUAUUCAAACAAUUAAUGAGACAGACUAAUAUGUUUUUUCCUUUAAGAUGUUAAACUAAAAGGUUUAGCAGAGUAGCUUACAAAUCCUGCAGGGCCUUGAUGAUGAACUCUGUGUGAUGGUGAUGAUGAUGAGGGUUCUGGUGGCUGAGGCGGGGUGUUCCUUCCUACACACAGCACAGAAUGUAUGGCUUCAUCUAAAUCCUAUGCAAAACAGAUAAUCUCAAAAAACAGUGAUUAAUUCUCACCAGAAGGUGAAUCAUGGGGGAGUUGGAUACUUCUCAUCCAUAGCUCUAGAAGAGGUGCUGGAUAUUGGAUUUCUCCAGUUCCACUUGUUAAUAUUCCAUCAAUAAGCGUUGAAGGCGGCAGCUCCAUAAGGUUGGCUAUCUUUACUAUAGGCAUAAGGUUCUGCAGAAUGUAUUAUGAAAUAAUAGAAAAUUGUUUUCUUAAAUACAUAAAUAAAUAUCUUACUUUUCUUACAAUUUUUGAAACUUUUCCAUGGUUCAAAGUAAUAUCCAGGUAUUAAAAAACUUGGACUAGAAUUAACAUAUAGAAAGGGAUAAACUGAAACAUACCUUUCUCCUUUUUCCUCUUCUUGCGACAAUAUUCGAAGGAUCCUGAAGCCAUGACUGGUAUAGAUUACCAGGAAUGAUGAUUUGUUCAUCAUCCAUGACAAAGGCUGCUGGCCUUCUGCCUCUCUUUCUUAUUAUCCCUUGUCUCGGUUGAUCCUGCUCAGACUGUUAUGCUCCAUCCAUAUAUUCUAUGUUGGUUAGUGUAAUUUUAUACAGUUUCCCUCUGUUUUGUGCACAUGAAGUUACAAUAGUUACAGAUGGUUGACUUGCUCUACCUGAUUAACUUCCUUGUGCUCAUCAGGUUGCUGAUUAACCUGGUUUUCUGGAUGCAGGUCUUGGAUUUCAUCAGCAGGAUCACCUAGAGUAUAGCAUGUGUACUUAGUUCAAUAAUUUCGUAUAUUAACUCACAUUUCUUUAUAAGAUACACUACGAAGUUGCACAUGGCCAAACAUCAAUAUUGGUUUUUGACACCAUUUCUAGAUUUGGAAUUAUUUUUCAAUUUAUUGAUUAAAAAUAUACAAAUGCUUUAUCUCUUCUUAUAUUUUACUUCCAAAUUUUUUUUCUUAGCAGCUAAUAAAACCUAAGUGUUGGGCUUGUGGAAGACUGGGAGAUACAAUCUAAAACGUUCUUGCCAUGAUUUUCUUUCUCCAAGAUAUAUUGAUUUUUCUUUUCCUGAAUUUUAUUUCCAUUGGAUUAUACGGUUUUAAGGCAUCAUCAAUGAUAUUCAAUACUCAUGCUUUAGCAAUUAAGUUGUACCUUAAGGGUUAGUACAAGGUACUCUUAUACUUCACUUUUCAAGUUGAAAAUGCCAGCUUAAGGGUAAUCCCCGUAUUCAGAAUCUAAAAUGCUUGUUUUUGCCUUCCUUUCCCUUUUGGUUCUGCAAGAUCUAAAUAUUUAACUUUUCUCCAAAGGGGAUAUCCAUACCUGUUGCUUUAGUCCAGUACACCUAUAUCCCCUUCUAGUUUUUAACUUUAACCAGUUAACAUAUUAUCAUGUCGUUGAGUCAUUAUCUAUUCUAAUGAUACAUAUUCUAACUCUUAGGGUCCAUUUAGGAAUGAGAAUAGGAUUAAGAAUGGAAGUGAAUUAUAAUACUAAAUGGAAAGAGAUGAAUCAAAAUUUUGACAAGACUGGAUUUUUGUUUCAACGAGAAUGAAUUUUUGAAUGGGAAAUGGAAUGAGUUUCUCAUUCUUUUUCCCUGUUCCAACAUUCUUAACAUGCCCUAGUGAUCCAGGCUUUCCUAGAUAACAAAUCAAUCUGGAGAUAUGUGCAGACAAACAAUUCUUCAACUUUGCAGAGCUUGUAGGUGUUAAAAACAUUUUUGUUGCUAACCUUUUUGAUGCUCAUUUUGAUGGGAUGGAGAUGGUAUAAGAGUACUUGGGAUCUGUUCUGCUGGAGUGAAGUUCAACUGGAUCUCCCCAUCUUCCUCGAACCUACAUACCCAACAAUCCACAAACAGUAACAUAGCUUAAGAAACCUAAUCAUCAAAAUUCUGAUUCUACCUCCAACAAUAACUCAAGAUGUGUAAUAAACUUCUACUCAGAAUCUACAUAAAUCUGAAUAUACAAGAAAAACUGUAGCAAACUUGAAAGUUGCAUCAUGGUUAAGAUUACCUUUCAUCACGAUUAUUGAGAUUAGUAUCAGCCUGAUACGAAUUAAAAGGUUCCCAUAAAGUGAUAUUAUCAGCGUCAGCUGAAAGAAACAGUAGCACAUUACAUGCUUAUAAUACUUCCAAAAGGAAGUUGGAAAUUAAAAGAAUGCACAAACUGAAUCAUGCAAACCUGUACUAAUUCACAACUAGAGAGUAGGUAAAAAGUGAAUAGAAAACCUUGAUGGUUGUCUUGCAAUACAUCUUCUCCUCCUGUGUUCCCAGUAAUGUAGGUUUCAUCCACGUUGUCCAGACACUGUCAAAGUAUAAAAUUUAGCCACCAAUAAUCCUUCCAAUUUUUCAACUGUGAUCUCUACAUUAUAUAUGGUCAUCAUUCAAGAUUGUAAGUAUUUUCCUUUUUCCUCCCAAAUUUGUGGUGUUGGGUUUUUUUUUUUUCUCUAAUUCUUUGGUCAUGGAUACUCAAGGAGCAUAAACUAAAACUUUUUGGCACAAAAUAUGGGUUUGAUUCAGGUUUUCAGCGCAAUGAUAACAUUUUAAAGCUGAGUUUGGGAAUAAUUGGUUAGAAUUUUGGAUUAUGAACAAUUUUUUAACUAAAUAAUGUAAGUUUUGUCAAAUGCAAUUGCUGCUAAACUUUAACUUCAUCUAAACUUCUAAGGGAAGCCAUGGAUAGGCCUGUAGACAAGUCAGGCUGAGUCCCGAAUCAUCCGAUCCUUGUGAAAUUCCCAAUUCAAGCUGGGCAUCUAGUCCAAAUUUUACAAUGUUUGAUUUAGGGCUUCAAAUCUCUUAGAUAAUAAAUUUGGAAGUAUUCCUUUAGGGAAUUUCGCGCGCAGUCUUAAGAGUCUGUUUUUUUCGCGGAUUUCAAUACUUGGAAUGGUCUUAUAGCCCAGAAUUGGAGAGGCUUCGGCCCAAAAUCUGGAGAAGGCCCAGACUGGGUUUGGGGCCGAUUUGCCAAUUUUACACUGCCAUGGUGAAUGAGGUACUCAUUUCACACCAAGAUGAGAACGAUCCACGACCGUUCACACCCAAACAGAUGGGAUCCAACGGCAAGGUAGAGCCUAUCCUCAUAUAACAAUUUUUAACAAAAAAAUGCCAGAGUGACUCAAAUGCCCCUAACGGGCUUCAUAAAAUUAGAAGAUGUGAAAAGAUUCAGAGAGGCAUUCUGGUCCAUGCAAAUAUUACCACGCAAAUGUAGGCGCCUUGUGGUUGAAGCCCCAUGACGGUGGUGGCUGUGUUGGAGAAGUUGAGGAACCGCUCAAUCUCUGGAGCGUCUCCUUCUUCAUUAUCAGGCAGCGUAACGGCUUCAUAUCUACAAAAUCAAAUCAAAUCAAAUCAAAGCAGCGUAAAUUGGCAUUCCUACCCUUUCCACUGAGGAAGAAGAAGAAGAUAGAAGCUAUGACUCACUUGGCUUGAGAUUUUCGCUUUGGGAGGUCUGUGGAAUGUGAACCUGCUCCUGCUUUUACUUUCCAAGCUUCGUUCAGUUCCACCUGAAGAUAUCCGAUCUCCAAACAAUGCAUCAACUAUAUAAUAACGCUAUUUAUAAAAGUGAAAUUGAAAGUAGGAGAAACAGAGGGGAUCGAGAGUGGCUUGUGGUUGAUGAAGAGUUGAUGUAAGUGUAACUACCAUAAGGCGCGUAACAUCAUCUGAUAACAAGAGCAGAGUAGCAAAAACGACGAUCAGAUGCAGUGAUUUGGACUGUAAUUAAGAUUUUGAACAGGAAAACAGAAGAAAAUUAAUGAAUGAAAAAAUAAUGAAAGGAAUCAAAGCUUGCCAUAGAGGAGCUUCACUUUUCGCUCGUAGAUGAUCACUACUCCACCUGAGUACAACGGAGAAAGAACCUCAACUGUUACUGGAACGAAGAAAACAGAGUUUAAAAUGAAUGGAAAUUCUCAAACAUUGGUUGCUUACCCAUGAGAAUUCCCGAGAGCCUCAGAGCCAUCGGAACCGACGGAUUCAAAAUCUCUUCGCUACAAAAUUAAACGAAAAAACUAAUUCAAUAUAAUCAAAACUGGAAGUAAGUGGACAAGAAAGUAUAGAAAUCCAAGAAGAAACAUCCACCAGAUUUUAAUGAUGUUGAGCUUGUCAAGCUUUCUCCGGUUCAUCUUCGCAUGCAUCGUCGCUGCCAUCCUUCAUAUCAUCACAGAGAGAUUUACACAUACCAGUCACAUUUCAUGUCCAUUGUACAUUACAAUACCAAUUAACAACAGAGCUCAUAAGAAUUCAUGCAUAUCCACAAGCAUUAAAGUCCAACAACAUGAGUCUACACAUUCAAAAGCAGAAUUCACAGAAACAAAACAACACAGUACAAAAGUAAAAGAUAAAAAGCAACUCGCCAUAUCUGCCCAAGAGCAGCUUUCCGAGCAAGAAGCUGGUGAGAGUAGAACAUUUUGGCUCAAACACUUCAAUUAAAAUUCCAAACUCUUCGUUAAUCGCUUAGAAGAAGAAGAAGAAAGGAAGUGAAACGAGAGAUCACACGGAAAACGAGAGCUGAGAGUGGUGUGUCUUCACCCUCCGCAACUCAAUACAACAGUGUAAGAAAUGCCGCUCAAUUAUAGAGUCACCAGUCGAAUCAUGCUACCUACCACGCUACUAGCACCAAUGAGCUCCACGUGUCCAUAGAAGAUUAAAUAUGGAAAAUCAUAUGAUACUUGAAUACUCUCUUUUUGUUUCAUUUGAGGCGGGUGAUUCAGCGAGUAGGUAGAGCGUAUCAUAUGCAUUAUACUCGCUUUUCCAUUGGUUAGUCACUGGAUGUGGUCCCAGAGAAUCACGUGUUCAAUAGAGGUAGGGAAUAUAUGAUUCAUCAUCAGUUUCUAGCCCAACUUUCCGAGUUUCGUCUCUGUGAUUCCUCUCUGUGUAGUGGUGAUGGAGAAUCGGAGACUGGUGGAGGUGUCGGACCACGAAGUUCGAAUCGACUUCGCACUGGGCUGCAAAUGCCGAGCCAACGUCCGCCUCACUUCUCUCAGUGCCAACACUCCCAUUGCCUUCAAGGUUCAAACCUCUUCGCCUCAGAAGUUUCUAGUGAGCCCACCCACUGGUCUUAUUCCUCCUUUGUCCUCCGCUGCCUUUCAAGUCAUCCUCAAGCCCCAAUCGCAGCCUCCGGCGAUGUUCCCUCGCUCGCCGACGGACCGUUUCCUCAUCAAAACCGCGCUCGCUGCGGAGUUCUCUACCCAGUCGACUCAACCGGAUUCCAUCAACUCGUGGUUCGCCUCCAGGCCGACGCAGGACCUGAAGCUUAAGGUGGUGUUCGUUGGGCCAUUCCUUCUCCGGCAUGCCGUCGCGGCUGGGGAUGUAGACGCCGCGAGGAACUUGAUCAAGCGGCAGAAGUCGGUGGUGGCGGAGAUGCUGCCAAGGGAAGCCGAGUCACUGCUCGGAGUCGCUUCCAAGUCUAACGAGAUGGUCGAGUUGCUGGUCGAAGCAGGGUUGAAGAGCGAGGCACGUGCGAAGAUUGAUAAGAUGAGUUUGGAAGAGGAGACCAGGUGGGCGUCGAAGGGGUGGACGGGGAUUCACGUGGCUGCAGCGUUUGAUCGGACGGAGGAGCUCGCGAGGCUGGUGAAGUUGCUGGGAUCUGGGCCGUUGGAUUUCAGGGAUAACGAGGGGAGGACGGCGCUGCACCUGGCAGUAAGUAAAGGAAAUAUCCAGUGUGCGAGGACGUUGGUGGAGGCGGGUGCGGACAAGGACGCCAAGAGUAAGGACGGUAGAACGGCGCUGUACAGAGCAGCCUCAAAUGGUGACCGUCCGAUGGCGGAGAUGCUGAUACAGAUAGGUGCGGACCCCACUAUCACCGCUGGCCAUCGUGGCCGUUCACCUCUUGAUAUUGCUCGCGAUAAGGGACACGUAAGCACUAAACCUCAAUUUCUUGUCUUACGUCUUGUUUGGCAUAAUUUUGUUUUUCACUUAAUGGGAAAGUGAAAGUAAAAAAUUAGACUACAAUUUUUAAAUACAUUGUGUAAGAGGGAAUACUUCCUAAGAGUGUAAUAAAAUAUCAUAAAUAUCCUCAUGUGUUGUUUUUGUCUUUGAAUUUCCAGUAUAUAAAGUUAAACCGUUAUCAGAGUGGAGCCCACCUAGAGAAAUAGUCAAUUCUCUGUUGUGUCAGAUUGAUUUCUCUCUCUCAAGUUGGAAUAGGGCACGGACAUAAACGUCAUUAGCAAAUGUGAUUAAAGCCUAGAAGAGUUUACAAGAAUUCGUAUUAACGCUGAUUAUUGUUUCUCAUUUUUGCAUGGACAUGCAGAAAGAGAUUGUGGAGAUCCUGGAGCAAGGGGAGACAGUACUAACCACAGCAAGACGGGGAGAGCUCAAGCCUCUGGAGCUCUUGCUGCAGAGAGGCGCAAGCAUCAACCACCGCGAUCAGUAUGGGUUGACAGCUCUCCAUGUGGCCGCAAUCAAAGGGCACAAGGAUGUCGCCCUGCUGCUCAUCAGGUUCGGGUUAGGCUUGGAGUGCCAGGACAGUGAAGGCCACGCGCCGCUGCAUUUGGCAGUGGAGGGCGGCAGCAUGGAGACAGUGGAGGUGUUGGUAGAUGAAGGAGCCAAUAUCAAUGCCAGGAGCAAGAGGGGUGCAACCCCUCUCUACAUGGCUAAUGCCUUGGGGUACCAUGACAUCGCUCAGUUUCUUGUAAACAGAGGAGCCUCCUCCUCUUCACUUCCUCCAUCAUCUUCACCUUACCAUUUAUGAUAUCAGUAUGCAUCAAAACGUUACAAGCCCUCUUUUUUCAAAUUCAAUUAUUUCCUUAAUUUAUAUAGAAAUUUAACUGAAAAAAAAAAAUGCCUUUUUCUUUGAAGACUUGGUUUGCUAAAAACGCAGCGGAGGGGUUGGUGUUGAAUUUUGGGGAGGAAUGGUAAUUCUUAUAACCUAAGGCAGGACUUUACCUAACCGAUUGUGAUGGUUUUUUUUUUUUAAUUUCCUUUUUUCUUCAUCACGCUUCCUUCUCUUUUGGGAUCUUCAAGUACUGUAAACAGAAUCUGCUUUUGGGAGACUAAAGACAGGGAGAAGAGAGAUCCAAGUGAAGCUUCUCUUCUCAAGAAAAAGAAGAAAGAAUUACCUUGUGAUGAAACGCUUUUUGUGUAGAAGACCAAUAAUCCAAGUGGCAGAAGCUCAUCCCAUUUGGUGUGCAGGUGUCAAUUCUCCGUGAAAUGCUUUUGCUUUUCUGGGAAAACUGCUGGGAUUCAAUCAGUUUAUAUUGUUAUGAUCUUUUCCUUGUUCCCACCGUCUCAUCACUCAGAAUGAAAAUCUCUUUCAUCAUCUUCUUCUUCUUUUACGUUUUGUUCUUCAAUGGUGCUUCUGCAACUCCUCGUCUCCCAGACCACUUCACCAAAUCAAGGUCACAGUCAACACUCCAACGACCCUCAGGCCAGGAGUUUUUCGAGCUGAGGCAACCUCUGCCGUCCGAUCAUCUGACCCCAGCAUGCACGGUUCCAAUUCUCGACCACUACUUCGCCAAUACCAUUGGUUCGCCCCCGGUGUCCGUACCGUACAAGCCUCCGCGCCAUUGUCAUGCCCCGUGGUCACGUGUAGUCCUGGAGGUGCACGCAGAUUGCAAAGGCGAGCAGUAUGAUCGCAUCGCCGCCGUGUGGCUUGGCGGCGUGGAGAUUCUGCGGACCAGCACGGCGGAGCCGGACGAGGCUGGAAUCUUCUGGAACGUUCAGAAGGACAUCACCAGGUACUCCUCGCUCCUCAAGCUGUCGAACCAGGACCUCACGAUGAUGCUCGAGAACAUCGUUGACGACAUCUUCACCGGCGUGUACCAUGUCCAGGUGUCACUUCUCUAUUACAAGGACAAAGGCGUUACGGCUCCAGCGGAUAAGAAUUUGGGAAGAGAAUUAGGGUUUAGGUUCGGGAGUCCGUGGAUUGCUCCUACACGGGUUGUUGGGGAAGCUCCAUUGAGUCUCUAUGAACCACCCGCCGACUUGAUCGUUCCGAUCUCCAACAACGGGGACCGCGGUUUCUGGUUUCGAAUCAACGGCGAAUCGGAUGUGCGAACCAAGAGAGUUCAAAUUCCGCGCAACACUCGCAGGGCGGUUAUCGAGCUCUACGUGUCGUUUCAUGGAAAUGAUGAGUUCUGGUACUCGAAUCCGCCAAAUUCUUAUAUCAGGAACAACAAUUUAACCACAGAUCGAGGCAAUGGAGCGUUCCGUGAGGUUUACGUGACUGUCGACGGCAAUUUUGUGGGCUCAGAGGUUCCUUACCCGGUGAUAUUCACAGGCGGAAUCAAUCCAUUGUUUUGGGAACCGGUUGUGGCGAUUGGGGCCUUUGAUCUUCCCUCUUACGACUUCGAAUUGACUCCAUUUCUGGGGCUUCUGCUUGAUGGAAACACCCACAAUUUCGGAAUUGGGGUGUCGUACAGUAUCCCAUUUUGGCUGGUGGAUGCUAAUCUGCACCUGUGGUUGGAUCAUCAGUCUGAAGCAGUUCAGGCGAAGCUUGUCAGCCAGAAAAGCCCUGCACUGACUCUCACGAGCAGCCAGAAAUUCAAGAGACUGGAUGGAACAUUCGAGCUAGAGGGAAGUAGAAAGGGUCGCUACGUGGGAUGGGUGAAAUCGAGUGAAGGGAACCUAACCACAAUAGUAUCACGAAAAUUGAAGUUCAGGAACGCUAUCCAAUUCCGAAGAGACGGAAACCACAAGACUGUUGAACAGAAAAUCAAGUCGAAAACACAAGUGAAAGUGUUGACAGAAACCCGGAUUCUGCUCAGUCGCCCAUUCAUCAAAUGGCGUUACCCCCUCAAAAUCAUCACCUCGACCAGACCGGGAUCAGGGCAGGGCACAAACUUGAUCACCACCAAUGUGACGGAGUCGUUGGGGAAAAGAUUCGCCAAUGGCAACAGCUCCAUCUUUGUUUACAAUAGCCAAGUUUGCGGGGGAUACAUGGAGGUGAAGGAUCACUCAGUUGUCUCGGGAGUUUCAGACACUACUCAGAGUUUCAGGGUCAGGGAUGGCUCCCGGUGCUUCUCCCGGGUUGUUGCAUCGACCAAUGGCAAGCUCUUGAGCGAUAGCUCAUCUACUUCUUGCGCAAGUUCUGUGUAGUUUCUUUCCCUCUUGUCCUCUCUCCUCUAAUGUAAUUGUGUAUUUCUGUAAUGUAUGAAACUACUCCUGCAUGUGUACCCUAACAAAACUCCAAAAAAUGGGUAUGUUCCUUUGUUUGUUGUGAAUAUGGGGUUCGGUGUUUUUUGUAAGGUAGCUUUGAGAAGCUUCCGCUUGUGUAUGUUUGUGUGAAUACGUUUUCUAUUUUGUAACGAUGUAGUUUAGGUCUCUGAGUUGCACCUUACACUAGUUUGGUAACUUAGAUCAGCGGCAGCAAAUGGAUGAGGGUGUAAGAAAUAGAAUAGGAAUUUACAAGUCGUGUUUGAGAAUAAGAAUGGAAAUUGGUUGAGAAUAGAAUUGAAUCAUAAUACCAUAAAUAAAUAAUCAAAAUUUAUGAAAGAAAAUUUAAUUUUCAUAAUAAUGAAUUUUUUAUUCUUAUUCUUAUUUUAAAAAAAUAAUUCAAACAUGUUAACUAAUGAGAAAGAAUAAAACUAAUUUCUCAUUCUCUAAUUGCUCCAUUUAGUGUGUACCAAGGUUUUAGGGUGAGAGGGGUAGCUCAAUUGGUCCGGUUUUGGGUUUGCUCCCCAAGGGUCACCAGUUUAAGUUCCUUCAGAGUUACUAGAGGUUUACCCGAUCGUUAACUUCAGGACCUGUGAAAUUAGUCGAGGUGCACAUAUACCCGGACAUCCACGGUUAUCAAAAAAAAAAAAGUGAUAGAAACAUCUCCGUACAUCCAAUCUAUCUGGUUUUCUCGGAGUAGGAGGCAAGUUUUAUGGGUUGAUUAAUUUGUUGUGUAAUUUAUUUGAUUUAGGAAUUGGCCGGAUGAAGUUGAUGUUUUGCAUAUGAGGAUGAGUUCUGCUCAUCGUUUCUCAGGCUUAAAAAGUACGGGAUUGGGAUGGCAACAUGGCAAGUAACUGUUUGCAACUUGCUUCAUGGUAUCUAGAUUAGAAAAUGAGUAUUUUUACUAUUCUAUAUCUACAUGUAACAUUAGUAUAUUUAUAAUGUAUUUAAUAACCUUAGAUUUUAUUUAAAUCCUAUUACGUAAAUAUACUUUGUUAGUAUCUAUAAAAAAAAACAUCAUCAAUCAUAUUAUGUAUUUUCAAAUCCCCUUACUUCACUCUUAUGUCUUGAUUUUAUAAUGUAUGUUUAGAGCUCAACAUACAAAUUUGACGAUCCAAAUGUCUUGUUCCGCAUGUAGAGCUUAAUGUUCAUUUUUACCCAUUUCCCAAAAAUAAUUAAAAAAAAUGAAUCUAUUUUUUAUAAAAGAUUAUUUGAAAAGUUAUUGUGCAAAUUUUCAUUGGAUCUCCAAAAAUUCCUAAGCCGAAUAUUAAAUCUCUCGCUCUAAUUAAAACGCACCCUUUUAAAGACGGUCAGGAGUGAGCUCCAAGGCUAGGCUCUACCAAUGGUAAAUAUUUUUGUCAUUGCUAUUACACAUUGUCCACACCCCAAUUAAAACCAUGACAUGAAUUUAUUUCUUGCCUCUCUCUCUAUCUCUCUCUUUCUUUUUCUUUUUUUUCCCUUUUUUUUUUUUGCAACAAAACUAAAAGAAAAAAUAUUAUCUUAACGUUCGUUCAACUUUGAAUAGGUCAUCAUCAUGUAGGACGCCAGAAAUCUUUCUUACCGACUAGAAACUGUCCUUGAUAAAGGGUUGUGGACCAGUGGAGAGAGUGCAAGACCGGACUGAGCUUGUCAAUGAUCUCGAUGGUGUCUUGAACCAAAAGCCAUCCACCUGGUCUCAGUAUGCGAUCCAUCUCCACAGCUACAUCUAUAAUAUCACAUCUGAAAUACAAAAGAAAAAAAGCACAAUCUCUGGUCAUUCCAACACGAUAAAAUCCUCAGCAAAAGGCCAUGCAAACUUGCAAAGUUAGAAGAUUACAUAUGAUGGUUAUAGUACCUCUGUGUAAGAUUCCCGAGGAGGAAACUGGAAUGCAGUAGAUCGUAAGUCCGUGGGUAGGUGUUAGAAGAUUCACACCAGUCAUGGUAGGUUCCUAUCAACCCUCGGUCAAAAAUAACAGACAAGGUGUCUGGUACGUGAAUGGGGACGACGUUCAUUACCCAGACUGGCUGAUCGAUGAGUGCUGCUGCAAAUCUGUGAAGAACAGGAACUCAGUAUAUCAUCGCAUGUUUUCAUGAAGCCUAUAUUAUACUGGAAAUUUUUGUAGAAAAAUUUGAAGACAAACAGAUCAAUCUAUUUUAAUUAACUUUAAAAUUUCUUACCCUCCAUAACCAGCAUUCAUAUCCAUUACGUUCCGUAUGCUUGACCAGUUUACAGCUAGACCCUCCAAGUAAACAUCUGAGACAAGUGCAGACCAAUGUUUGGUGUCCUCAUAAAACAUUUGUUCAGCAUCUGGUUCAGUUGGCAGACUUAAAGGUUUGCUGCUAAGCCUCUGGGGCCACGAGACAGGCCAAUUCUGUGAGUUGCCCAUGCUAUCUGCUGGGAGUUGGGGAAUACAACCGUCAAGAGGCACAUACCUAAAAUACAAAAAUGGAUGACAUUAGAGGCAGCAGCUAUAAUAACAACAACAAUUUGGGAAUAAGGCUACAGGUUCCUGAAGAGUACCAUGAAAUGUUUUUCUUAUCUUUUAUAUCACACAUUGGUGGAUUAUUUUCUUUGCGUUUCUCAUAGCAGGAAGAUGAGACAGGCUUCUGAUAUAUUACAAGCCCGAUUCCAUUUAAAUCCACAGUCUUGGCCACAACCUUCCAGCAAAUAGAUUUUGUCACAUUAACCAUAGCUGCAAGAAAUAAGGAGUGUGAACUUCCACCUUAGAUUGCAGGACCUAAAUCCCAAUCUAACUUUAGGGCACAAGUUGGACUGGAAGAUUUGCUAAUGAAAUUAAAACUAAAUAUACAACUGAGGGCACUGAGCUGGAUGAUGCAAUCCAUAAAUGGAUCACAAUGGUGAAGAGUGUGUCAAUUAAAAAAUUAUUGAGGAAAAAACAAGGAUGUUAGAUCACAAACCAUUCCAGACACUCUGAUCUCUUUCAUCCUUACGAUACACAGGUGUAGCAGACCAUACAAAAUACCCUCCAGGUCUGAGGAUCCUAUUGAGCUCCAUUAAUGGUCGUCCACCUAGAAUAUCCAACCAAAAGGAUUUGAGAAAGGUUGCAGAAUGGCUCCAUAAUAGCUGACAGAAGCGAAGAUUAUUGACAAAUUAAAUGAAGUAAUUCAACUAAGCACAAGAAAAGAUUGCAAAGUACCAUUUGCAUCCCAAUGAACCCUGCAGCGAGCACAGUGAAUCAAAUCAUAUACAUUAUCUGGAUAUGUCAGUUUUUGGGUUCCAAUGACUGCAAGAGUAGCAGGAAUUCCUCGCUCCAGAGCAAACUGUAUCUGAGCUUCAUGUUCAUCCUUUGGGGCAAAUGACAUGGUAAUUACAUCUUUGUCCAGCAAAUAGCCUCCAAAGCUAGCAACACCACAACCAACAUCUAGAAUAACUCUGAUCUUCUUCCCCCAUUUAAUAAUUGGUAGUGUCUGGUGAAAGACAAGGAAGACAAAGUCAGCAUAAAAUAGUGUACAAUCAUAUAUGUACAUGUGUGUGUAUGCAUGUAAUUCUGAUCUAUAUCAAAAUGUACCAAUGAAAGGUGCUCAAAUAGUGUACUGAGCAGCGAAUUACAAAGGAAAAUAAAUGAGAAAAAAAACAAAGAGAUAAGUUUCUCACAAUAAAAAGUUUAUUGAACUAAUAUUCAAUUGAAAAGUUCAAGCAACCACUCAGGAGUCGGGGCCAACUAAUGAAAAUGAAGUUUCAAUUUCUACCGAAGCCAAGAGUAAGGAAGUGAUACUCAACAUCGAGAUUGGUCAACCCAAAAUAUUAUGAGGUAUAACAUGCAAUUGUUUCUCAGUAAGAUACUACAAAUAUUAAAAAUUGUGCAUUUACAAUGAUAUUACCAUGACUUCUCAGUGGAUUACAGUUCUUGAAUGCAUAAAGGGAUCCAAUAAACAAAUUCUAUGUUAAUGUUUUAUAGCCCAGAUUCCCAGCCCCACCUCCCAACAGAAAAAGGGCUUGCUCCCCAUGCAAUCAUUAUUAUUGUUGAAUGAGCAAAAUCACUGAGACAAAAUCCAGUUAAUAUUUUUUGCUACCUUGUUUAUCUUACUCUACAGUCACAAUGUUGCAAAAAUUAGUCAGUGGAGGCCCCAAACAGACACAACUGCAGAAAAUAUUAGCAUUAGCCCUAUCUCUUGGCUCAUUACAAGAAACCCAUAAAUAAUUAGUUGAUAUCAAGUUAAUAUCACAGUGACAUAGGAGCAAUUCCAUAGUUUGCAUGCUGUAAUCACAGCACAACCUGUCAUGAAACUCCAACACAAAUUGUUACAUACUGUUCAUUUAUUAGCCAAAUUGCAUCCUAUGUUAUGCUGUAAUUCCAAACUACACAACAGAUGACUCUUAGGACCAUUUGGGAGUGAUUUUGGUAAAAAUGUUUUUAGCCUCAAGUUCUGUUUUCAGUAGCACUUCAAAAAAAAGGUCUUUGCAGAGAAUCAGUAAGUACUUUAAUAAAAAUAAAUAAAUAAAUAAAAGGUGUUAAAAACAUUUGCCCAAUGCUAAUUCAAGAAUCACUUAAAGUGAUUUUCUAAAUUUUAAAAAUAAUUUUUAAAUUAUAUUAAAUGCUUAAUGUUUCUGAGGAAAAUACUUCCAAGCAUUAGGAAGACUUCCAACCCUCCCAAAUUAAACCCAAAACAGUCUCUUAGUUUGCUAUUUUUGCCAUGUCAGGCACCAAAGUUGUGCCUGUGUCCAAGAUGACCUCACAAGUUUACAUCAAAAUCAAAUUGUGUGCCUGUCUAAGACAAGGUGUCUCUGUCAUGGAUGACAAACACGGAAUCCAUGACUGUGCUUAACAACAAUGUCUAUCUCUUUUUCACAUAGUUAUCAAGGAGACCACAUUGAGCACCAACAACAGCAGGAUCACUCCUUUUUUAGACACAUUAAAUAAAUGUAUAUUUUUUGGUUCAGAGAUUCAGGCACGAAGAUGUGAAGAAUUUAUACUCUCCAAUAAGGAAAACUAUGGAAUCAUGUAAGUUCUUUUCUCUCAUUCCUUCUUAGUUUUAUUGUGUACUAGGUACUCUUGACUGGAGCAAUUGUAAACAUGGCUGGCUGCCAAGCAUGAAGGCAUGUUUUGAGUCUUGACAGCAGUAACUUCAUGCAAAAACUACAGAAGUUAGGAACAUAUCAAACUUAAUUCUUUAACUUCUAAAACUAUUAAAAGGAGAGAGGGAUAAAAAUAAAUAAAUAAAUAAAAGAAUGAUGAGUUUCUGCAAUAUGAUUUUAACUUUCACUUAAAUAAGAGAUGAAAGUCAGCAAUGUAUGCAUGCAAAAAAUAAAAAGAAUGAUCAGUUUCUUUAUGAUUCCACUUCCACUUGAUAUGAGAUGAAAUUCAGCAUCAAAUGCAUGCAAAGGUUACAUAUGGAAUACAUACUGCUUUAUUCUCAAAAGAUAAUGGCAGUAAGUUAAGCGGGGGAAUCCAUAUACUACCUUCUCUAUGAAAUCAAUGUAGUUAGUAACUCCUUCCUUGAAUUGAGUACCACCACCAGGAAAAACAAGGUAAUCGCCAGAUUUACGCACCCAAUUUUGGUCUUUCUUGUAUUCAACCAGCAUAGGAUGGGGAACAUUGUCAAACCAAAUCUGGAGUAAGAAAAGAAAAAAAUUGUAAAAUCUGAUUACUAAUAUUUCACGAGCAAUUUAAGUAGCAUAGAAUUAUGUCAACAUGGUAACGCUUUCUCAAAAUAAAUUCAGCAUCCAGUUCAGCCAAAAAGAAAAUAAGUAUUCACUAACUUCAUGGAACAGGGAUUAUCAAACUUUUUUCCUUCACAUGCACAGAGAGUAAUUUAAGAAGCUUAGUCAAUUGCUUCAAAGAUGAGCAUACAUGGAAUUGAUGACCAAACGUUCAAAACAAAAAUUAAAACAAUGCUACAUUUAUAUUCCCCAAAAUAAAAAUUAAAUGCUACACCAUUUAAAUGACAUCUGAAAUUCAAAAGAGAAGUAAUUAUAUUUCCCAAAAUCAUCAAAAUGAAUUUUCUAGUAAAAAAAAAUUCAAUUUGCUACCAUAUCAGAAUGACACAAACCUACACUAAAAGAUUGCCAAUGAUCAAUUUCAAUAUAGUCUAACAAUAAAUUCGGUUCUUUCAGAUGAUGCACGAGUUUGAUUGUAGAGAAAAUUAAAAGAGAAGUAAUUAUGUUCCCUUAAAUCACCAUAAUGCAUUUUUGAGUAAAUAAAAUUCAGUUUAUACCAGAUCAAAGCUACACUAUACUACACUAAAGGACUAUUAAUGGUCAAAUUUUGUUUAUGUCUAACAAUAAACUUGGUUUUUUUGAAUGGUGGAAUAACAAACGGUUGAUUGCAAAGAAGCUUAUGUCAAUUACUACAAAGAUGAGCAAAGGAAUUGGUGACCAAAAGUUCAAAAUAAAAUAAAAUUAAGAACAUGCUACAUUUAUAUAAGACACCAUUUAAAUGACAUCCUAUCAUUUAUACUUAGCUUCAAACAUAAAAUGCCAAUAGCUAAUCAAUCUGUGAAACACAUGCUGUAAAAGUAUAUAGGCAGCCUUAAUUAGAGCUUCAAGAGAAAUAAAAGGAAAAAAAAAAUUAUGAAAAUAAACCAAUUGUCUCAAUUCCUACAUAUAGGAAGGAAUCCAUUUUCACUUAGAAGCAUGAUCCCAACAUGGUUUACUCCUAUUUCUUAAAACAUAGCUCACAUGAUAGGAAAUAGAAUACCAUAAACAUAUUAUUAGUCAAUCUGCAAGGUUAGCAUACUGCACAUGGGGGUUAAUCACACCUGGGUUCAGGUCCUUCCCUUCCCCAUGCUAGCUUCUGUUCUGUGUGGUUCUUGACUUAUCGAGUUUUUCUAUUCAUGGUAAUCUAUCAAAAAAUUUUGCAGGAUUUGAUCCUGGAUGAGCCAAGUUUUUCUUGAAAUUUGGUCCUCAAUUUGCCAAAAAUUAUUGUCUAUUUUCGUCCUGCACUGAACUUGUUUCAGAAAUUCUACGUGAAAACACUUCUAUAUAAUUAUAUGAAAUUAUUCCCCAUAAGCCUAGGAAUCCAAUCAUGCCUUGCCAGUUUUGGGUUCAUUCUAUCCAUGUAUUGAUCCACAAAAACAAACACAAAUAAAAAUAAAUAAAUAAACAAAAACUAAAAACAAAAACAAAGAAACAAAUCAAUUGAUAAAAACCCUAUGACCAUGCCCAAAAAAAUACUGAAUUUGGUUGCAUAGAUUUCCACUCAAUAGUAGCAGAAAUGUUUUCAAAUUCUACUAUAUUAUUUAAAGAAAAACAAAUACCCUGCAUUUCCUAAUUCAACUUCUAACUACAUUUACAAGAGUCCAUGUUUUUUUUUUUUUUACAACAAGCAAAUUAAUAUUUCAAGAUCUAAAGUGAACCAUUUUACAAAUUAUAAGAGCAUUAGAUGAUAAUUCAAUUUCUUCCUGUAUUAGUAAGAGUCCAGGCUCUUCUUGAAUACGUCAAUCAAAAAAGCACAAUAAUUUUGACUUAGCAACUCAAAAAACAAAACAAUCUUAAACAACUAAUUAAACAACACCAGAUCAAAUCUUACCAAACCAUAUCAAUCUCACCAUAUCCCUACUCUUUGGCCAUGGAAUUGGGACUCUGUACCCUGGGGGAAGCCGAACCAAACAACGCGGACUCGGCUCCGGACAAUGCCGCUCUCUAUGUUCCAUAUGCCUCCGAGACCUCAAUGCCUUUAUCGCCUUCAUGUUAUCGAGACACGGAAUGUAAUCAACCGCAGCUGGACCCUUACAGAGUUCCCAAUUCAACUCCGCAACAGCUGAAUCAUCAUUUCCGUUCAGCGAAACCACGUCGUCUUGAACCAUGCCCGUGAUCGGAGUGCUGGAAACCUCCGGGGACCGAGGAGGCGGCGGCGCCGCCGACGACGACGACGAAACUGACCGUAGCCUUUGGAGAUCGGAAAUGGAGAAGUAGGAAUACUGGUUGUUGGUCAAGAGAAGGAAGCCGACGCAGAUGAACAAGAGCGACAGCGUGAAAAUGAAGGGGUAUUUUCGUUCCUUAAAUAUGGUCCCAACAGAAAUCGCCAUUCUCUUAGAAGAUUCAGAAGCUCAAGAGAGAGACAGAAGAAUGAAAUCGAAUCUGAGGAGGUGGGAGAGAGAUUUACGGAGGCAUGGUGAAUAGUUGUAGAUGAGGAGAGCAAUUGACGCGAGAGAGUAGAUGGAAAUGGAUUUAGACAGUGAUAAAUUCCAAAGACUCAGAAUCUGAUUAAUGAAUUGCAGUAAAUUUCAACGAAAAUGAAAUGUGGAAUGGAAAUUAUUAUUUUAAAUAACAAUCGGAGCGGAGAAAAGAGACUGUUUCGCUAGUUUGAUCUUAAAAUAAAUUAUUGUUCAAAAAGUUUUUUUUUUUGUUUUUUUUGCCACUUAUGUAUGAAGAAGCAGGCUCUGUCGGUGCAUGCUUCAAGCAGUAGCCCAUGGUUAUCACGCCAAUUACAAAGGCUAUGGUGGUUAAUUUAAUCCAUAUUCAUUACGAAUAAAACAUUUUGGUGUCUUAGGACAUUUCUUCAACCCAUUUUGCCUAUUUCGCUAUUUUCUAAUUCCUACACGUCUUUACCCUGAUGAAAUUGUGAGCUUAAGAAUUCGAUUUUACAAAUACAUGGGACGUAUCAAUAAAAAUUUGAACAUAAAUUAUGGUAAAAAUUAAUCGAAACUCAUAAAAAUAAUAAAAAAAUAUGAUAAAUAAAUAGAUAAUAUACAUAUUAAAAUGAAGAAAAGUAUGUUUGAUAAUGAUUUUAUGAAGUAUUUUAAUCUUUUUAAUACUUAAGAGAUAAAAAAUUUAAAUAUUAAAAAUUUUAAAAACACCUCUUAAAAUCACAAUCAAACACGAAAAUCUCUAAAACAUGACAAAAAAACAAUAACAUACAUAUUAAAAUUGUUGCGUAAAACUUUAAAACACAAAAAUAUCUAUGAAAAUUAAAAAUAUAUAUGUUAAAAUGGAUUAAAACUUAUAAAAAUAUUAGUAAAAACUCUUAAACUUAUAUAAACAUAAUAUAUAUAUAUAUAUAUAUUGGAAUUGUUUUAUUAAAAAUUUGAUAUGAAAAUAAUAUAAUUUAGGUUAAAAAAUGAUGAAAUCCCCAAGUUGGAAAUCUAACAAUUCCCAUGUUUUUUCUUCAAAAGUAACCAAUUUUUAAAAUAAAUAUCAUUUUUGUUUUCAAGUAUUUACAUAUAAGUUUUAAAAGAAAUCGUUAUUUUUACAAUGAAAUAAUAAGGGCAUUUUUGUUCAAAUGAUGUCAAAAAAUGAUGAGAGAUUAAAUUUAAAAAAUUGGAUUUUAUGAGAUCGUUUUAAUCAAAUAAUCCUAUUCAAUAUCAAUAUACAUAAUUUAAGAAUUUAAAAAUAUUUUUAAUAUUAAAAUUAUAAUCUAUGUAAUAUUCAAAAUAUAAAAGAGAUUAUGAGUCUUAAUGCCCUCCUUCCUCUUUAAAAUUUUUCACAUAGUUGAUUCCCCCUAAAAUAUAAUGAUAUUGUGAAAAAAUUUCAUGAUAAUAUAGCUAUAAAUAUUAUCAUGUCGCCAUACUUAAAAAGUUAAAAAUAAAUAAAUAAAAUAUUAUUAUCAAGAAAAUAUUUCUAAAAGUAUUAUAGUUUUUAUUUUUAUUUUUAUUUUUAUUGAUCUAAAACAUAACUCAUUUUCUUAUCUUAAGAAUUCAAGCUCUUCCAUGAGAAAAACACAGCAAUUUUGACUUGGAUAGCUGAAAAACCAAACGAUCUUGAAGCUUGCAAAAAUUAAACAACAACCAACAAACGAAAAUCAGAUGAAAUCUUACAGAAUUACCGUAUCAUUCUCACAUGAUCCCUGCUCUUUGGCCACAGAAUUGGUACUCUGUAACCUGCUCGAAGUGGAACCAAACACCGCACACUCAGUCUCGAGCAAUGCCGCUCGUGACUCACCUUACGCUUCCACGAAGUCAAAUUCUUUAUCGCUGCCAAGUUAUCGAGGCCUGAUAUUGCUCAUGUUGUUGGAGUUAUCAGCAGGUUCCUUUCUAAUCUUAGAAAAUAACAUUGGGCUAUAGUGAAAAUGGAUUAUCAGGUAUCUGAGGGGUACUUCUAAGACAUGUUUAUAUUUUGGGACUAACAAAUUUGUGCUUGUAGGAUGCACAAAUACAGAUAUGGCUGGGGAUAUUGAUUCCAGAAAGUCUACUUUUGGUUAUUUGAUCACUUUUUCAAGGGAAACAAUGUCAUGACAAUCAAAGUUGCAAAAAUGUGUUGCUUUGUCGACCAUAGAGACUGAAUAUAUUGUUAUCACUGAAGCUAGCAAGGAGUUACUAUGGAUGAAGAAAUUCCUAUGAUAAUUGGGUCUACAGCAAGAAAGGUAUCUACUCUAUUGUGAUAGUCAGAGUGUUAUUCAUCUCAGUAAGAAUCCAACUUUUCACUCUAGAUCCAAGCAUAUCGAUGCGAGAUAUCAUUGGAUUUGUAAUGCACUAGAGAUGAAAUUGUUUUUCCAUGAGAAAAUUCAUACUGAUGAGAAUGGAUCAGAUAUGAUGACAAAACCAAUACAAGCUACAAUUCUGUAGAAAACAAGCGGCCUUGGUAGAGCCCCUCACAUAGUCGAGAGGGGGAGAUUUGUUGGGCUCCCUCAUAUGUGAGAGAGUGGGGCCCAUAUGCUUAGGAACCAAUUCAGUUACAUUAAAAAAAAAAAAAGAUCGAGAAAAGAAAAAAACAAAGAGGAGAUAAGAGAUAAAAAAAAAACGCAUCUAUCCAGAUUUCAUCAACAAGCCGAUCUCGCUUCAUAUGUGAUCCGAUCGAGUUGAAAUUUGGAAGAGAGGUUUGAAACUUGAGUAGCUACAAUCUGAACGGUGGAGAUCAGAUUUUAGGCUCGGGAACUGGUAUUACUACCUGUGAAUUGUAACGAUGUUUUUUGGGUAUACUUUCUCUAAUUUUUAUUUGUUUCUUUGGUCAAGAGAGAUUGUAUAAUCCAAUGCUAUAUGUGCUUUUGAUAUAUUUGGAAGCCUCUAGAGAUUAUUUUAGAAAAAACAAGUAUAACUCAUUAUUGUUGAUAGUGGAAGUUUGAACUGGACUAGGUCCCGUGGUUUUUCCCUUCAUAAUGGGGGGUUUUCCACGUAAAAAUUUCGGUGUCUGAUUUAUUUUUCUGUUGCAUGAGUUUAUUUAUUUAUUGUUACUAGUUGUUAUUGCCUAUUUAAUUUUGCAAAAUUUUUUGUGUUUAUUGGAAUAUUGUGAAUUCACUGCCUGUAAUUGACCGCACCACAAAGCUCCCACUUCACCUCCGCAGCAGUUGAAUUACCAUUUCUUUUCACGGAAACGACGUCGUCCUGUGCUGUGGCAGUGCUAGGGCUACUCACCGGAGAUUUGAAUGCCGCCGGCGACCUCGUCCGCCCCACCGACCACAGGUUAUGGAGAUCGAACGAGGACAAGUAGGAGUACUUCUUGUUGCUUAGAACGAUGAAGACUGCGAAGCAAAUGAAGAUGAGUAAGAGUUGGAAAAGAAACGGAGGUCUUCGUCCUCUGGAGAUGCUUUCAACAGAAUUCUGCAUUUUCGUAUAAGAUUGUGAUGGGAAUCGAAUCAGCACAACUGAGGAUGAGCGACUCAGAGGAAGAGAAUCUCGGAGGGGAAUGUCAGAGAAAAUGGGACGCGUUGGGCUGUGCAAAAGGUGGCCGUUUUAAGUACUUUUAGUUUGUGGCAUAACUUUUCAAAAGCGAUUUUGUGAUUUUGUGAUUGUGAUUUUUAUUUUUUUGAAUCACGCAGCAACCGAUUUUUCUAAGAAUCACUUCAGUGAUUCUCUAAAAAUUUUAAAGUGACGCCUAAUUUCUAUGAAAAAGAAAAAUUCAACACAUUAGAAAGUGUUUUUCCCAAACACGUCCUAACUGAUGCUACAACACAUAAUGUCAAAUACACAACAGGCUCCAUUCAGAAGUAAACACAAUCCUCAAGUAAAAGAGAGAGUACAUUCUCAAAUGAACUGGAAAAAAAUGUUCAACAUUGUAUAAGUUGGUCCCGGGUUCAGAAAUAACUCGUUGAAUUUGUAAUUUGACAAAAUUUCUUAAUGACACAAUUACUUGAAAGUUGGUUUUAUACAACCACUAAACACCUACGUGAAAAAUUAACAAAGAAAAGAUCUCAAGAACUUGAUAAAAUCAUCACCAACUAUGCUGCAUUCCUCAGUCUGUUAUGCCAGGACCUGAGUUCUCUACAUCAAUGUCUCCCAAGCCAGUGUCUUCCUCUUCUUCACUGCCUUCAUCGCCACUGAUUUCCUCGUUCUGAUGACUUAGCUUAGCCAUAUGCUCAGCAAGUAGUUUAUCGUCCCGUUCACUCACCUGAAUCAAUGCACCACAUCAGGGACAUGAUAUAAAGAUAGCUAAUUUCUAAUGUGACAGCAAAAUUAAAUAAAGAGCAAGUUCUAACAGAAAGUUUCCGAAGUGACUUAGCCAAAAACCAACAGACGUUAGGUUGAGAAUUAAAAGAUUGAAAGGAAACAAAUUUAAGUAGAAGAUGAUUGAAACUCACAGCUCUGGGUGCCUCCUUUACGAUAAGCUUUCCUUUGUGGCAAUCAAUUUCUUCUGUGCAAGCAGCAAUGGCAUUAUUGAGAAUUGACAUUCCUUGCUCCUGUCAGGCCAAAUAGCAGUGAAUACUAAUAUUAUUAGCAAAGUUGAUAUGGUUAAACAAAAUGCCCAACAACUCAUUUUAAAGUAUCCAAAUAAUCCGACAUAGUCAACAAUUGAGAAGAUAAGACUUGCUAUGUAUACAGAGCUUAGUGAAAACUCUUGGUGGAAUCAAUCAAGAGAACCCAUGUUACAGAAAGGGCAUGGAUAAUUGUAUGAACUGGUUAGUUUUUAGAUGCUAAUAGGUUUAAAUCAAAAUCACCUCAAAUAUUGGUUUUCACAUGGAGCACUCAUACACCUAGCUAGAGUAAGUCUACCACAAAAGUGACUCCUAUUAAAUUGAUAGCUUUUGUUAAGAGUAGCCAGCAGCUGCAGUUUUGCAGUUAUCCAGAUGAUGAAGACUGAGACACAGGAGUAAGAGGUUAUGUUUCUCCAGAAGUAGUAGCUGCUCCCUAGACUAGAAAUAUUCUCCACUGAGAAAAGUUAGCACCCUUUUUACCAUGUUACGUUCUCCAAAGUUAUGCAUCUUUUUUUAAACAGACUUUUCAAAAAUAAAGGAUGAGGUAAAGGGGGAGAGUGAGGUAGAUUCUUCUUACUGCUUGGAGGGGAGCGGCUCUCUCUAUUUGGAGGGUUGUCCACACAUCAUGAUAUAGUUUGAGCUCACUGCAUCUUCAAAAUGGGCUCUGGUGUCCCAAAAUGAAGAGGGAGAUGCCAAACCAAGAGGAGCCACAACACUAGAGGAUUUUUAGCACAUUUUCUAUCCUCCUAAGUUUUUGGUUUCUGGAGAAUAAUCUUCAGUACUUUUCGCUCUGUUUUCUUUUUGUAUUCUCCACAGCACAAUAUGUUGUCUAUCUCAGUAUUUGAUUUUCUUUUAUUUCAGGAAAAAAUCAAAGUAAUAAAAUGGAAAGAUACAAACUGUAUACACCAAAGAACUUUUCAUCCAUUAUGCAUGCAAUUUGGACUAGCACAUAGGAGAAGAACAGCUGAUAACAGGACUGAAGUUGGACUGUCUAAGAAGCAAAUGACCAUUCAACCCACCAAAAAGGAGGAAACAAGUUUGCUCCGUACUAAACACAGGCAAUAAAAUUAUCCAGGGGGAAAUUGUUUGCUACACUGUGUCAUUACCUUGUCAAGCGUCUGAGUAGUAAGAACAUAAAGCGGAGGAGCAACCAGUUUAAUUUUCACUGGACAAUCCUUAUUGCCCGCCGCUUCUGCUUUCCGCAUUGCUUCCUGAAUAGUGAAAGAUAAAACAAGUAUUAAAGCAGACAGUACUUAAAACGGUUCUAAAGUAAAAUCCCAAUUAUGAAACAGAUUAGGCCAAUCAAAUAAAAUAAAAAGUGGCAAAGAAGGACACCAAUAAAACCUUAAUGUGAAGAACACCAUCAAACUGGAAACAUUUCAUUUCAAUAUCAGCCCGAAUUUUCAAUGGUUGUGGAGUCAUUCUUCUCCUAAUAUUCUUUACCAAAGCAUCCUUCACUUCCUCAGAUAUAGCAGGGACCACCUUUGUCACCUAUAAAAUGAGGGACAUGAAAAGUGGCCAUUGUCAUCAACAGGAAGAAUAUGGUGAGGUUCUUCAUAAACAAAGAUUACCUCCUGUCCAUCAGGGCCAACUUCUUUAACUUCACGAGUGAGGGAAUUCAGAACUGAAUCAGGAUCAGUCACAAUUAUCUUAAAUGCCUGCAACAACCAAAAGGUAAAAAGGAAAAAAGGUUCUUAGCUGUAAAUACAAGAGAAAAAGAAAAGAAAGGACCCCCACCCAUCCCCCCGCCCCCACAAAAAAAAAAACAUAAAAAAACCUCCAAUAAAGUGAUAAAUAAUCUCACCUCAAAAGCAUGACCAUAUUUUCGGUAUAAAGGCCAUCCGACGUGGAUGUAUAAAUCCUGUUAUAAGACAUUUGCAUAUCAUCAACAAAUCUUAAAUAUGAAGAAACAAACAAAAAUUCCAGCGCCACAGCCAGUAGGUAUUUUAUGUGAAUGAUAAAAUUAGAUCCAUUACUCACAUUACCAACACCACAGUGCUACUUCUAUUCAAAUUGUCAUCUAUGUUUUUCAUUGGUGAACAAUACCAGUAAGAAUAUGCCCUCGAGGUUUGUCUCAUGGACCAAGCAGUUGGGUUAGAGAUCAGGAAGUUCUAGAUUUGAUUUCAUAAAGAAGUGAAUUCUACCCAUCAAACAAUAUGUAUUGUUGGGAAUAUUAAUAAUUGAAAUAUUAACAACCCAAUUCAUAACACUCAACUGAAACUUUUUGCCAAUCAAAAAAAUAAAUAUAAAAAUACUCAACCAAAACUUCAAAAGUUAACUUUAACAUGACCAAUCAGUCUCAAACACCCCAACCACUGUCACCACCCCCGCCCCAAUUCCUCUGGAUCUGUUCCCAGAGCUAUCUUAGAAGUGGACUUCCAUCUUUCUAACCAUUUCAAGUUAAGAAGAUGAGAAGGCAGUACUCUAGCCCUCCGACAUUUCCACACUGCCACCAUUAAUCCCCACCAUCACUGUUGCAGUCUUAGCACCCAGUUGUCAGUUGCAAUGCAUCUUCCAUGGUCCCUAAUAUAAAAUACCGGAAUGGUUUACUAACAAAAAAGCAAGCCAGGUUAACAACAUUCUGAAACAAUCCAUGAUUCUAUUGUGGAAACCCAUUACAAAAGCUUUCAAUUCUACAUAGCUGAGAAACUUUCAUGAAAAGAGCCAUAAUAUCAAGAGAUGAAUCUACCAUACUUCUACAAAUUCACAAAACUAGAACAGCAACAAUAAACCAUAUCAUAUUAAUAGAAGAACACAGCUUGCAAUUAUAAUUAGGUACCCUAAAACUCCAUCCAAAAUACCUCUAAUUCGAGCCGCAUUAUAAUUACGAUGAUCAGCCCAAAAAUUAUGCAAUGAAAUCAGUAGUUUGUGAAUAUAUUGCAACAAUUUCUAUGAACUUUAAUAUUUUCCACCACAAGUAAAACAAUGAUAUCUACGAAUCAUUUAACUCAAUCCCCAUAAAGAAGCAUCUUACAAUACGUUUGGAAACAAAGGAUAACCUGCGAUUUGGCUUAGUUUAGUUUGUUAAUGAUUUGAAAACAAAAUCAAUUUUCUCAGCAACCAACCACUAGAAUCGACCCAAUGUACCUCCAAAUCAAGCUGCAUCGUCUCGGCAACAUGCCGCAUAAUCGAGUGAACAAGCUUGCUCUUAUUGUACCUCUCCUCGCACGCCUGAAUAUCCUCCUCUGAAACCCUCCUCUUGCUCAAAUCAAUAUACCCUUUUUCCUUAUCAACCCUAAGGACCAUCACAGGCUCGAUGCGUCCCACCUUGAUCAGGCUACUCACGCUUCGAAUCCGACGUCGAGAGAGCUCGGAGAAGAGGAUCAUACCCUCGAUGUUGUUGUACUCGAGCAGCGAGACGUACGCGCCCAUGUCGGCGAUGUUAUUGACCUGAAUCAUCACCGCCAUGUCCACUUCUGGGUACUUGGCUUCGUACAUGCGGCACUCCAAAUUGGGCGUGUUCGUCGCCAUGGAUUGGGGAUUGCGGCUCUGUCGGGAUUUCUAGGGUUUUCUCUGGGAGCGUUUGGAGAGCGAUAAAUUUAACAGUUGUGCGAUGCCUCGCCGUUAAAGGUAGGGUUUUGACUGAUUUCGAUUUUGUAAAUGAGACUAGCAAUCAGCCAGAGGCAAACACCAGCGGGCACAGUUUGAUCCAAGAGAUAAAAGUCAUAAAACUCAUAAAAGUACUUCGAGGUUUCGACUGGCGAGUGUGAAAUCCAUUUGCGGCUUCUCAGGGUAUUUUUAAGCAGUGGUAAGAGCAACGACGUCGUUUUUGUUAUACGUUUAAGUGGAAAGGUACCAACCUUAGGAGUAGGACAGGUGGAAUGCGAGUGUAACGUAAGUAUGAUGGAAAAUAGUAAAGUUUAUACAUAUAUUACAUUUGACUCCCUUAAAAAAUGUUAUUUUUUAAUAUUCAAAAAUCAUUUUUCAAAAAAUAUUUUUGAAACUAUUCCGGAUAGACUUUUUUGUUAAGUUGAAAAUCAAAACAAAAAAAAAAAAACAUGUUUGACCAUAAAUAUCCGUUUUUAUUUUUAAAUAACGUCUUUUAAUUGUUUUUAAUUAUUUUUACUCAAUUUUAUAUAUUAUUUUCACUUAUUUUUAAAAAAUAAUUAUAUAAUUAAAAAUAAAACAUUAAACAUCAAAAAUAUUUUUAAAAAUAUUAAAAACUUUCUAGGUUUCAAAUAGAUUUUUAUUAUAUAAAAUAUCAAAAAAUAAUUCUCAAAAACUGAUUUUUAUAAUCAUUCAUAAAAAUAAUUGUCAAAAAUCCUAAAUAUGAAUUAAAAUGUUUGAGUAAUUAUUUUUAAAUAAGAUAAAAUUAAACGAUAUCAUAAUUAAGAAAUAAAUAAAUACAAUAAAAUAUUUAUCUUAUAAUCUUUUUAAUUAACCAUAAUUUUUGGCAUGCCAUCAAAAAAUAGCUUUAGGUAUCAUAAAAUCAUCCAUGAACAUUAUUUAUUUAUCAUAUUUGGAUAAAAAAUUUGGUGGGAUAUGAGCUUGCCUUAAAAAGGGAGAAGGGAGCAUUAAUAGCACAAAGAAAGGUUGUUUUUUUAUUAAAUUAGUUGAACCUAUUAGCACUCAUUGGCUUUAUAUUUCAUGGUAGUAGAGACUAUGCAAGGAAUUGUUAUUCAUAUCAAUUUCCAACAAAAUUUGAAAAUAUAUUAAUAAUAUUGUAAUGAAAAUAACCAUACUUUUAAAUUUAUAACCCAAAGUUUUAGAUUUUUUUUUUCAUAUUUAUGGGAUUUAUUUAUUUUGAUAAAAUAAAUAAUUUAAUGUUAAAAAUAAUUUUAAGUAAUAAAUAAAAAUAAUUUAUUUAUUUUUAAUUUCAUAUUUUUAUUUGACCUAAUUACCUCUAUGAUUUAUUUUUAUUUUUUUGUUAUUUUUGGGCCUUCAUUAUUACUCCUUCUCCUUUUUCCAAGACUAUAACUUAUUAGGAUUAACUUAUUAAUUUAAAAUAAGUUUCAUGCGGUGCAAAUUUUGGAAAUCAGAUUUCCAUGACUUAACCAUUGUGUUCCUUGCUGAGCAAGAAAUGGUACCCAAUUCAUGGGAUGAAUACCUUCAUUCUGAUUCUCCCUUUUGCUUCAACAGAGAGGAGGAAUAUGCAAAAGGCCUUUGGAUCGGAGAGAAUUUAGAGAUGAAAGCAGAUGGUCAUCCAUGUCAACGGUCAAAAAUCAUGCAGUAGGUUAAGAUGCUACACCGCAAAGGACGCGAACAAAGCCACAUCUAUCGUGCCCAGUGUCCCAUUUUCUCCGACCUUCCCAAGCAAAGCCAAAAAGGAAGAGGCAAGUCACAGCAGAAGCUACAAAAGCAAAAGAUCACUUCCUUCAUCAAGGCCCACUACUCUCUCACAGUCUCUCUCUUAGGGUUUCAAAUUCCACGUCGCCGGAGCGAAAUGGAGGAUGUUGCUCAGGCAGCUGGAGUCGACGCACUGAGUGUGAUCGGCAUGGUCGCCGCCGCCGCUCGUAAGGCCAACACCCACCGGAGGAACUGCGAGAAAAUCUCCAACCAUGCGAGGAUGAUCGGGAACCUGUUGGAGAAGCUGAAUGCGACUGAGCUGAGGAGCUUUCCGGCCACCGGAGAGCCGUUGCAUCUGCUGGAGGAGGCUUUGAGGAAGGCGCUUGUUUUGGUGGAGAGUUGCAGAGACAGGAGCUAUCUCUACCUACUUGCCAUGGGGUGGAGCAUAGUGUAUCAGUUCCGUAGGGUUCAGGAUGAGAUCGAUAGGUAUCUGAAGCUCGUGCCGUUGAUUUCGAUGGUUCACGACCGUCGGAUUCAGGUAUGAACCUGUUUGGUAGAAUGCGUCACUGUCGGUUGAACCGAUAGACACAUUACCGUUUUAUUUCCCGGGAAAAUGAUGGGUAGUAUAGUAACUUUACAAACAAAAGGAACAGUAGAAUGAUACCAUCCUUUCCUUUUCUGAGAAGUUGGUGAAUAUUCAUGAUUUGAAUGUGCAUAUGCUUAAGUAAUAAAAUAUAUAAUUGCCCCUAAUUUUAUAAUCAUUUCAUAGAAUCUGCCAUUGAAUCUGUCUGUUCUCUCAAAGGAACCUAAUCUAUAUGGCUUUUCAUUCUAAUUCCUUCCAAAAAUAGUUUCACAAUCUCAAUCAAUUUUCAUCAAAGAAUUUGUGGGAAUCAUUAUAGAGAUUGUAUUACUUUUCAUAAGAAAUUGGGCACCAUAUGAAGUAGUACCGUGAUGCAGAACAUGCUGCAAGAAUGAAAAAUUUCUGACUGGUUCAAUUGGAUUUUGGAUAAAUUUACACAUUGAAUAUUUUUAAAUGGAUUUUCAUCGAUCAGUUGGUAGUAAUUAAGACUUUGUUAGAAUCUGAAGGAAGGUUUGCAGGCCAUUGAGGCAGACCAUGGAGAAUACACUCUUGAUGGUGAGGAUAUGAUGGCCCAGAAUGUUAUUCUGAAACGAGAUCGUACAAAGAAAGAUGCAGACGUAUUGGAGAAGUCACUGUCUCGCCGAUAUCCUGAUUUGAGAUUCCAUGAGGCUCUCCAAGAAGAGAAAGAGAAGCUGCAGAUUGAGCUACAUCGUUCACAAGUGGACAAUGACCCUAAGCAGUGCCUUGUAAUUGAACAUCUUAUUGAAGUCACUCAAAAUGUUGUUAAUGUUCCAGGUGAAAAGCUUGUUGAUGCACAUGCUUACAUAGGAUCUGGGUAAGUGUUCUUAUACAGUAGUAAGGACGAUUUAGUAAUUUGUGUGCUAUCCGACUAAGUGGUUUUGUACUGAAGGUAUGAAGCCAAUGCCAAAUCUUGCCAUGGGGGCCAUGGUUCACAACCUGAAGAUCAAGACGAAUCUGAGUGGCAGGCUGAUCUUUUUGGCUGUUGCAGGGAGCCUUGUUUAAGUAAGUUCCUGAAUCUAUUUCUUAUUUCUAACAGUUCAAUAGUCAAGUCACACACCAGAUAGAGAUGAUAAUUGUUAUUAUGGUGUCCUCGACACAUGAUGAAUGGUUGAGGCCAUCCAAAUAUAUCAUUCUCAAAAACCAUUGGGUUAACUAAUUUCAAGUGAUCUUAUUGUCCAAUUUUGUGCAUUUCAUUAGAACAUUUCAAACUAGGUAUUGAUAACCAUACUUAAUUCUAGUGUAGAUUUGAAAUACUUUCUAUCUUGAUUGUUGAAUUUUUCUGUUCAUCAAUCUGUUUUAUUUUCUGAUACAGGCUUGAAGACCUGUUUCUAUCCCUGUGGAAUAUUUUCUUUUAUAGCUAAUGUGGUGUCAAAAGGAAAAAUAUGUAAGCUCUCUCAACUGUAAAAUAUAGUUAAUAAUUUAUGUGCCAGUUGAAUUCACAUAUGAAAGAUUCAAUAUAUGAAUACAUAAAAGCUAAUUAACUUGGACAUCAAUCAUUUUUUAUAAACAGGACCCUCCUUUCUGUAAAUAGAAAGAAUCACCUUUUUGAAAUUUGCUUGAUUUCGUUAUCUUUAUCUAUGUUCUACUGUGUUACCUUACUGAAUGUAGAAGCUAGUGAUCCCCCAGCAUGGUUUGAGAUUCUGUUGUUAUGUUACAUAUAUCAUCAAUUUUAGUAACAUUUUCAGGGAAGUUCCUGUAUUUAACCUGUUUCCUUCAACAGUUCAAUUCAUAUUAAUUCUGAUGGCCUGAGUUUUCUUUUUCUCUCAACUACAGCUCGUGAACGUGCAUGUAAUGAGCUAAUGACAUACUCCCUCUUCUGUGGUUGUUGUUGUUACACUUGUUGUGUGAGAAGGAACCUACGGAAACACUUCAACAUAGAGGUAUCUUCUCUCUACUAAGAGGAGCUCUGAGGUUUGAAUUUCUAAAUGAUAUAUUUCCUUUUGUGCCAAGCGUUUCAAUUCAAUGCUUGAAUAAAUUAAUGCAUAAGCAGCUAAUUGAACUUCUGCAAGCUCAGAAAACAAUUGGAGCAAAUAUGGACUUUUGUAGUUUAUGAUUUUAUCUUACAGAUCAAUUGUAUGGCCAUGCCUUCUGUAAGUAGCAAGUUUUGAUGAGGAACGGUGCUUGUUUCUUCUCUUAGACAUCCCUUGGAAGAGAUUGCUGGAAUCAUUUUAUUAUGUUUUUCACUAACUAUAAUCUGCCUCAUUUUAUUUCUUAGGGUGGUUCAUGUGAUGACUUCUUAACUCAUCUAAUGUGUUGCUGCUGUGCAAUGGUUCAAGAGCGGCGUGAGCUUGAACUGAGGAACUUUGAUGGUAUGUGUUGGACUGAUCUUGUCAUCUAUCAUUUCAUAGUUCCUGCUAAUAUUAGGUCCCAAUCUCAGCAAAUAAUCUGUCUUAGCACAUUGGUACUAACUCUCAAAGAUCUCUUCUAUAAAGCACCUGAUUUUAUAAGAUGAUCACCAUCAUUCAUUGAAUUUUUGUGGGUUUCUAGGUUUUUUUUUAUUCUUAUUGUGAAGAAAACUAGAGAAGGAAAAGGGAAAUGCAAAAAGGAAAAUAAAGUUAUGGAAAAAGAAUAACAAGUUUGAGCCUAGUAAAAUAUUUUCUUCUUUCUUUUCCUCACUUUUUAAACAUAAAAUUGGGUUUCCCUCUUCUUCCAUCAUAUUCGCUUUUCCUUGUUAAUUUGCAUCAACCAAGCAAGAGAAAUGGAUUUUCCUUCUUGACUUUUUUCCUCUCAGUCAUAAUUUACCAGAUUCAAACAGAACUCCAUUAGGAUAAGACUUCUUAGAUGUGAACUGUCCAAUGACAAGCCACUUUCACAAGCAUCCUUAGAAUAACUUCUCUCUUCUGUUUUUCUUUUUUUUUUUGGGUGAUAGGUGAGCAUCCUUAGAAUAACUGUUCCCCAUGAUAAUACCAUACUGGGAGUUCUUCUAUUGUUAACUGCAAGCUCAACUCUUUUGCAGGUUGCCAAGGGAGAAAAAUGAUUCCUCCACCAUUCCAAUACAUGAAACCUUGAAUCCCUGCCAUAUCUUGUGAGUUUAAAAUAUAGCUUACAUUCUCGAGUUCCUAACAUGGAGCGUUUAUAUUUCACCUUUAUACUUAGGUAUGAUAUAGCUGUUUACACAUAACCUAUCAAAAAAAAAAUAUAGCUGUUUACACAUACAUAGAUACAAGUAUACAUCUUCCACCCUUUGGGUGUAUAGCUUGUUACACAAACAUAUGCAUAGAGAUAACUUAAGCUUUACAGUUGUCGAGUAGUGUUGAUACUAGCAAUUUAUGGGCACACUGUAAAUAUGAGACGGCGGUCUUGGGAAUUGCAAAUUUUCAGAAGAUAGGCUGGAUGCAAACUAUGGGCUAUGUAAACAGACAAGGAGAAAUGUUAUUGUCAUCUGCCUUUCAAAAUUGCAAGUUGCCAAUGUAGCUUCUGACCUUUUUAUCUCUUUAUAUGAUUGUGAUUUGAGUAUAUUCUGAAAAACAUUAAAUAUAAGCAAAUGCAGUCAAGCCUAAUCAAUAUCACCUUGUAGUUGAAAUGUCAAUCGCUUUUAAUGAACCUACCCUCCAAACUAGAAAGUAAAGGAGACACAAACGUUGCUUUUAGUUCAAAAAGAUAAUUCAUCAGACCCAUUGCAUUUUGCUGUCUGAACAUGGGAAAUACUACCCAUACUAAUAAAGGGAUUAGCAAAAGCCCAAGGGCUUACUUCAUUUUGUACCUACCAUCCAUUUGAUAUGAAAGAAAUAUAAGGCCAAUUUGAUAAUUAUUUUCGAAAACGAUUUUGAAAAACAACUUUUGAGAACAGUUUUUAAAAACAGUUAUUUGAUGUUUUGUAGAAUAAAAUUAUGUUUGAACCUCAAAUGUUUUUAAUCUGUUAAUCAAUUUUUAUCUAAUGAUUUACGUAUUUUCCUUCUGAAACACAAUCAGCUGGAUUUCUCCUUGUAAUUGACUUAAUUGGGAGCAAUUGUAGGCUGUGUGCAGCAUUUAAUUGUAUCCCAUGAUUCCUAAAAUCUGAAUUCCACAGUAAAUGCUGGGGAGACUGCCAAUUGAGAUGAAUAGGUCGUGUUGACUUUGAUUGACUUGAUUCUCUAUCUAAAAUUAUAUUCUCAUUUUUUUUUGUUUAAUUAUACCAGCAUCUCAAAUUUAAAAAAUCAAAUAUUGGUUAUUUGUAUAUUUUCUCUCAAGUUUUAAUCUAGUUUGUAAAUUAUUUUUAAAGCUUAAAUAAAAAAAAUUGAUUAACCCACUAGGAUAGACCAAUGAGGGAAUAUUAGGAAGUGUGGUUCAAUAAAUGACAUAAAGUCUUGAGUUUAAAUUUAUCCAAUAUUGAUUAUUAUAGGGCGAUUAGCACCCCAAGAUUUGGGUCCUAUGAAAAGUUCUAAGGACUUGGUCCGAAUAUGUCAUUCAAUUAAAAUAUAUAUAUAUAUUGGGUCUUAUGAAGAAUUCUAAGGACUUGGCCAGAUAAUGUCAUUCCCUUAAAAAUAUAUAUAUGAUGACAAAAUUUAUAUAUUUAAAUAUAUUAUAAAAUUUUCAUAUAAAUAUACAAGUGAUUGGUAUAUUAUUUUUUUUUUAUCAAAUUUUAACAAAAAUAUUUAAUAAAAUACCUUAUUUAAUAUUUAAUUAUAAUUUAAGAAAAAAUUGUUUAAAAAAAUUGGGCAUCAAAUUAGGCAUAAGUAAAAAUAUAAGGAUGAUUUUUUAUAAGUUAUCUUAAAAAAUAAAAUUUUUAAUAAUAAAAUAUCAUUAUAGAACACAUUGAACAUUCCCCUUCCUUUUUAUGUAUUUCGCUAUAUUAUAAAUGCAUAGCCGUCGGUGUAGCAGACUUCACCAACAUUGGGUGACGACAGACAAAAAACAUCGGGUACUUGCACGGUUGCGUAUGCAUAAUUUCCCUUUCUGGCUGAACCGCGGGUGAGAGGGUCCAUCGGAAUUAAUCUUAUACCGUGAAAGGAAUUGGAUUUUAUGGGCCACUUCAAAACGACGUCGUUUCGAUCAACAGAUGGUCGUCGUUUUCAAAUUCAGCACGCACGAAUAUAGCUCGAGAAAUUCGCGAAAAAUAACAUAAAAAUAAAAAAAACUAAAACAGGAAAAAUAAAAUUAAAAAAAGAGACGAUUCAAAAUGGCGUGAGAGUGAGAAGAUCGCCAUAGUCCCAGACUCUAGAGUCCACCGAUCUGGUGGAGUAGGUCGCACAGUCACUGCGGUGGAUCAUCAUCUCCGCCUCCAUUGACGAGGCUUCUUGAUCUGCUACGCCUACUCUUCUCCAUUGAUGAUUACGUGAGUUGAUUUGGUUCUUCGUUUUUUUUUCUUAAAUUAUUUUUUCGCUAAUUCUUGAUUGAAUUUUAAUAAAUCGGAGAUCUGGAAGUUCGGUUUUCGUUUUUUGUGAUUUCAUCGUAAGACAAUGUGGUGAUCUGUUUGGUCGCGAGAAAAUCCUGAGGGGAAGAGAAAGGAAGAUAGGAAUUUUGCGUUCUACAAUUUUGAAUCAACUAGGUCUGGUAAAACUAGUUGGCGUAGUUUGAGUCCAAUAUCGCACUUUUUUAAGAAACCAAAACUGAUUGAAAUUCUAUAUGUAUUUUUUUAUUCUAGGAAAAUUUGCAAUGAGGUGAGAAGAAGAUUUGUAAUAAUAUUGAUAAUGAAAAAACCGAAAAAAAUUGAACGUGCGGUCUCGUUCUGAAUUGUGUGGUUGUUCGGUUGAAGAUCUUAUGUAUAACUAAGCUUAUAACUUUGGUCAUAAGCUCUGUUUGUUUGGACAAAAUACUUUCUGGGAAAAUUUAGAUUUUAGGUUUAAAGGGGAAAUUUUCCUUUUUCCAACAUCUAACUAAAUAGCCGAGAUAAAUGUUUGGCUAAAUUGAAGAAGCCGUAAAUGGAAAGAUGUUUCCAGGGAAAAAAAUUUCCUCUUAACUAUUUCUGUCAGGAAAAUAUGAAAAACUUGAAAUUGUAGGAUGAUACAUUUUUUUUUUUAAUUUAAAUGUGUUUUUUCCUUUUGUGUUUGUGUUAUACAACUAAUGAGUUCCUGUUAUUCAAUUUUGCAGUCUUUGUACUCUCAAGUAGCACCUCAGUUGAAGGAUUCAUUAAAUUUAUUGUUGUAUUAGCUCCAUAAAGCACCAUGUUAAGAGGGGGCAUGUAAGUGUUUUUUCGCAUAUUCAGGCAUCAAACCUCCAGGAUGAUAUUUUACUGUUCUAGUAAUUGUUAGAUUUUUGCAUAAGAUGGUUUUCAGUAGAAUUGCAGAAAUUAUUUCUGCCUCAGCUAGUCGCUUUUCAGCUCCUCAGUCUUCUACAAUCCCAUAUGUGUCAUCUGGGUUAUCCCCUCAGGCAGGUUCUGGUCAUGGUUUUGGUUUUCCCAGCACUGGACAGAAGAGUAAUUUGCGACUCUCCUCAUCCCUCCAAGAUUUCUCAGCAUAUCGUCGACUGAAUCUAGAAGAAGGUGAUCUCAGCCUUGAGGCUGAUAGGAGUCUAAUCCUGGCAAAACAACCUCAUCCCUUACAAGGAGAAAAUGGUGGGUUAAGUUUUUCUAAGGAAAAGGGACUGCCAGCAAACCCAUUUGUUCGGAAGAAGUGGGUGCGAGCCCUCAUGGUUCUCCUGUGUCUACUGUUAUUUGCUUCUCUUAUAUAUAUUGUUUCAAUAUACUUUUAUUCUAACUGGUCUCAAGAGGCAUCCAAAUUCUAUGUUGUACUUGAUUCUGGGAGUACUGGAACUCGAGCUUAUGUAUAUAAAGCAAACAUUGCUCACAAGAAAGAUGGAAGUUUCCCCAUUGUAUUGAGAUCAUUUGUGGAAGGUCCUAAAAAAAAACCAAGUUCACAGAGUGGGCGUGCUUAUGAUCGAAUGGAGACGGAACCUGGACUUGAUAAGUUGGUGAAUAAUGUAUCUGGCUUGAAAGCUGCAAUAAAACCUCUUCUUCGAUGGGCAGAGAAACAAAUCCCCAAGCAUUCACAUAAGUCUACUUCUCUCUUCCUUUAUGCCACAGCUGGUGUACGCAGGCUGCCGAAAUCUGAUUCAGACUGGCUUCUUAACAAUGCACGAUCCAUAAUGAAGGAUUCGCCUUUCUUGUGCCAUGAAGAAUGGGUUAAGAUCAUCACUGGCAUGGAGGAAGCUUAUUUUGGAUGGAUAGCUCUUAACUAUCACACUCGUACAUUAGGGUCCUCACUGAAACAAGCAACAUUUGGUGCACUUGACCUGGGCGGCUCAUCAUUACAGGUUACUUUUGAGAGUAGGAAUCAUGUGCAUAAUGAAACUAACCUAAGUGUGAAAAUUGGAGCUGUUAACCAUCAUCUAAAUGCCUAUUCUCUAUCUGGAUAUGGUUUGAAUGAUGCCUUUGACAAGUCUGUGGUUCAUCUUCUCAAGAAGCUUCCUGAAAGUGCUAAUGCAGAUCUACUUAAUGGGAAAAUAGAACUCAAGCAUCCUUGCUUGCACUCUGGUUACAAAAAGCAAUAUGUCUGUUCUCAUUGUGCUUCUCGCUUCCAAGAAGGUGGGAGCCCUCUUGUUGGAGGAAAAACCUUGGGCAAAGGAGGAAAACCAGGAAUUGCCAUCCGGCUUAUAGGUGUACCAAAAUGGGAUGAAUGCAAUGCCCUUGCAAAAAUUGCUGUAAAUUUGUCAGAAUGGUCGGCUCUAAGUCCAGGGCUUGAUUGUGAAGUACAACCUUGUGCUCUUUCUGAUAACUCACCUCGUCCUUAUGGCAAGUUCUAUGCAAUGUCUGGCUUUUUUGUAGUGUAUCGGUUUUUCAACUUGACUUCAGAUGCCACGCUUGAUGAUGUAUUGGAGAAAGGUCAAGAAUUCUGUGCAAAAACCUGGGAAGUUGCAAAGAAUAGUGUUGCUCCACAGCCCUUCAUAGAACAAUACUGCUUUAGGGCACCGUAUAUUGCUUUAUUAUUGAGAGAGGGUUUGCAUAUUACGGAUAACCAAGUAACUAUUGGUCCUGGGAGUAUUACCUGGACACUUGGGGUUGCCCUGUUGGAAGCUGGGAAUUCUUUUUCAGCUAGGAUUGGGCUUCCUAGAUAUGAAAUACUCCAAAUGAAGAUAAAUCCAGUUAUUCUCUUUGUAGUUUUGGCUGUUUCAUUGUUUUUUGUGUUUUGUGCAUUAUCAUGUGUUGGCAAUUGGAUGCCAAGAUUUUUCCGUAGGCCACAUCUCCCGCUCUUUAGGCAGAACAGUGCAUCUACUACAUCAGUUCUAAAUAUAUCAUCUCCUUUCCGGUUCCAGGGUUGGAGUCCUAUCAGUUCAGGUAAGCUCUUCUUCAACACUGGUGAGUUGUGCAUAAUUCUUAAGCAUUGUGAAAUAAUACCAGUAUAUAUUCACUACAAUCCCUGAAAAUCAUUUCUUAUUCUGUGCUUUUACUAUUCUUAGCUGCUCAUAUAUUUUUGCUCUGUCAUUUCCUAGAAGGGAAAAGAAGUAUGCUUAACUUCUGGAUUUUGUAGCUUUCCUCCCAAGAAAUCUUCUCAUGCAAGAGACCAAAACACGUAUAAUGGAAUGUUUGAAGACUGUAAAGAGAGUCCUCCCAAUCUGAACAAUGCAAUGGGAUAUUAAAUUUGAUGCAUGAUAACAUCCAGAUCAAAGGCUUAUCUUUAACAUUUUAAGAUCCUAAUUCUUUUUAUUAGCAUGAUGCAUCUCAAGAGUUCUGUUUGAGCAUCAUACAAAUCUCAGGAAUCAAUCACCUUAUCCCAUCCUAUAUCGGUUUAAUAGACAUCUGAUAAAUGCAUAGAUACAAGCAUACAGACAUGAUAUCCUUUUAUUUACUAGACACAUACAUAUGCACAAGCAUAUUUUGUGGGUGCAUGAUUUUGAACCAGACUAUUAUCAUUCACAAAAAUUUAAAAGCAUUUGAUGGGUUCAUACAGCUUGUCCAUAAAAAAUUUAAAGAUCGUUUAGAUAAUAAUUCUAAGCUAAAUAUGUUUGGCAUAAAAUAGGAGAAUAUCAGGCUCUUGCCAAAGUACUGCUGCAUAUAGUUUCCUUCUUCCAUUGAACCUUUUAACGAAUUCUUUUGCAUUUCCAUGAGUGAGACCUUAGUUUCUCAUUACCAUGUUCCACAAUCCUAACACUUGUGCAUUGUUUCUCAUGUUCAUGGAGCUUUUUGUUUCUUUUACACCUUAUUUCUUGUUUAUUUCAUUAUUCCCUUCCCAUGGUCGCUAUAACUAUUUUGUUGUUAAUUUAUUUGUCCUUGUUUAACUUCUCAGGUGAUGGAAGGGUGAAGAUGCCUCUGAGUCCAACAAUAGCGGGUGGCCAACACAGACCAUUUGGCACAGGACAUGGUUUCAGUGGCAGCAGCAUCCAGCUUAUGGAGUCUUCCUUAUACCCGUCAACUAGCAGUGUCUCACACAGUUAUUCCUCGGGCAGCUUGGGGCAGAUGCAAUUUGACAAUAGCACCAUGGGCUCCUUCUGGUCCCCUCACCGAAGUCAGAUGCAUCUACAGAGCAGGAGAUCACAAUCACGAGAAGAUCUUAAUUCUUCAUUAGCUGAGUCACACCUGGUGAAAGUUUAGAGGAUGCUUCUCAAGAAAUUUUGGUAUGAUCACUUGUUUCUUCUCCAAAUACAAUUUUCAUACAGAAAGAUCAAAUCAAGGUAUUAUUUUUUUGUACCAUAGAGAAUCCAUGUCCUCUGAGAAGUAGAUUGACCACUUAGAGACUUGAUCUUUGAUUGUUUCUCUGUUACAUAUAUUUUUCUAACAUCCUUCAAAUAUAUUACUAGGCACUCGACUUCUUUAAGAAUUAUGGCUUUCUCCAUGAACCUUUCCCAUAAUCAUAAAGCCUGAACUGCUCUUAUUCACUCGGAAUACAUCCAUUUUCUUGUGUACGAGAUUGAAGCAAACACAAGGCAUGUAGAAAGGAGGCCAAAAACCCUUCCCAUCUUCAGUUCUCAUCAGCAUUGUUUCUUCUGGUGCCUCAACUUUGGACUCAUAACAUUUGACUACCAUUAUGUGGUAUAGACAUAUAGCUGCAGCCAGUAUCCCAUUAUUCAUUAGUUGACUCUCUUCCCAAGCCACCCUCCUUUACGUCAGUAUGUAAUCAACCAUAGUAAGCUUUCUUUCAACAUUGAUAUCAUCCUUGAGACUAUAAAUCUUUGAACUGUCUAACCAUCAAACAAUAUCUCACUUGCUGUCCUUUAAAAGCCUUAAUAUAAAUAAUCGUUCUUCAGGGUCUCAUUUUAGCCUAUAUAUGAUCAAUUUGCCUCAGAAUAGGUUGUCUUUUUAUCACGUUAAUCUCCAAGCAAAUUAUAUUGCUGAAGCAAUUCCACAAUGAUGUUUGUGUGGACCAAUCUGGAGAAAUAGUGGUAGAGUAAGCAACAACUAUAAUUCUCACAUGGAACAGGACAGCAAGAUUCAUAUUACAUUUUCUAGUUCAUGUGUCUUUUACUCAUCUUUUUGCCCUUUUUUUGGGGCUUUUUGAAUUGGAAAUUUUGCCGUACUUUGUUGCCUGUAUCUGUGAAUGGAUCCUCUGUUCACUUUUGUGAACUGGGAAGUCUUUUCAUUUGUGUAGACCAAAGUGUUUCUCCAUAAACUGUUAAAUAUUUUUAAUUUUAGAAAACGAGUCAGUGCCUGACAGGAUUGGUUCAAUGGUUAGUUCUGAAACGCAAGAAGGAAAUGAUUAAGAGUGUGUUCGAUAGUGAUUUUAAGAAGUGUUUUUAGUAUUUUUAAUAUUUGAAAAUUUUUAUCUUUCGAAUAUUAAAAAUACUAAAAAUAUUUCUUAAAAUCACUGUCAAAUACAUUCUGAAUAUAAAGAAUAUAAAGGGAAAUGGUUGUUUUGAUGUUCGAAUAUCAUGGAGCACAGAAAGGUAAAAAGAAAUCCCAAGGAUGAUAAAGAGUGUGAAAAAUACUAAUGCUAUAUAAUUUUUUUUAAAAAUAAAAUAUAAUUAAAAUUAAUUAAAAAUUUAUAUAUUUUAAAAUUAUUUAAUCUUUAAGUAUAAAAAAACUAAAUGUAAUGAAUUUGAAAAAACAUAUAAAAAUAAUUUUGAAAUUUUGAAAUUUUUUUUUUUUCACUCUAAUUUCUUUUUCUCACGUGUUUUUGAAUCAAACAUGGUAUGAAAGUUUUAUCUUUUCAUUUCAAAGGUGUGGAAUUCAGAACUUGUUCUGAAAUGACUCCUUAAAACAGUUUUUUUUGUUUUUUCAAAUAGAACUCAAUUUCUAAUUUAAAGCAUGUUCCAUGAAUGGUUUACUAAAGUUAUUUUGUUGAGAUUUUGUUCCAAAAACGGUUAAGAUUAUUUUUUUGAAAGCAAAUUUAAUGAGAAAAUUGUUUAUCUAUAUUUAACAUUCCAAAUAAAAUUUUAUUUUUCAAAAUGACUUUAAAACUGCUUUAAGAAUUAUCUUAAAAAUAUUAUCAAUUUUUCUUUCAGAAAAUCAAAUAAGAUGAAUUUUUAAAAAGGGGAUGUCGCAUUAUCCAUUGAAGUUAAAAACAAUUCUUAUGAAACACUUGCAAUUAGGUUUCAAUUUUGAACUACAAAUAAAACCCAAAUGUGAAAUUGAUAUAUUUUCAAAACUUUUACAACUUGGAAUAUUCUGUAGCAUAUGCUUCUGUUCAAUAUUCCUUUUUCAAUCUUAUCCACUCUACCUUGAAUUAUAAUAUUUAUAUGCAAAUUUCCGUUGAAGCCAGCCACAGAAAAGGCCAUUGACAUCGUACACUUGUACCCCCUUUAUCUACACGUAUCCGAAACUUCGAGUAGAUGGGAUCUUUCCUAAGAGCCCCACAUGGAAGUGAUGGAACAAAGGCUAAAAACGAGUUGAACCAAAAAAAAAAAAAAAAAACCCUAGAAGCUUUAAUCGGUGUAGAUCGGACUCUCCCAAUUGAAAGAGACAAAAAACAUGAUGUGACAUGCAUGAAAAGAGCCACCGAGCUCCAAGCACCAUACCCAUUGUGAGCCAAACAUGAAUGAAAAUCAUCAAAAAUUACAUAUGGUAAUGAACCAAAGGGUCCCGAGUUCAAGCCUUUCCCUAAUACUUAAGUGGUAUAGAGGAUAGAUUGGGUGAUUAGAAAGGAGUUGACGGGUUUUAUUUCUCUAUUCAGAACAAGUAGGGGGUUCUCUGGUCGCCUUGGGGGCAUAACCAAUACCAAUGUACACACUGCAUACCAUCUUUUUAUUUCUACAGUUACUCAAAAUAUACUAUAACAGUAUGUUAGAAUAAUGGCCGAACACAAUUUCGGAUGCCCCAUAUGCGUUAUGCUUCUACAUCAGAACAUAUGGGAUUGAAGCAGCAAAUUCAUGUUCUGGCGGAAAAAAAUUUGUCAACACGAGGGAUAGGCUCAAUCCAACAUGGGAGUCGGCUCAAUCCAAUAUGAGAGUCGGCUAAAAGGACGAGCUGGUUGUGGCUGAGAAUCAAGUGAGGGAUGCGUUACCAACAAGAAAAACGAAUGUAAGAAUCGUUCCUUCUUUUGUUUGAAAAUCAAAUUAUAAGUCAACUUCGAGAGACCGGGUAUCAUCAUUCCUCUGUGAGAAGAGCCAAUGGAACAGUUGUGAUAACUUACUCGUUGCAGGCUUCUGCUCAGGUUUUUCCAACUUGACAUUGCAGACCGCGUAGUACUCGUGCUUCAUGUGAGGAGUGACUAUUCUUUCCUGAAGAAUGAUAUGGAAUUUCUCAAUAAGGAGCAGGCCACCACUUGCAAUUUUAAAAAUUAAAAGGGUUUUGGAGUUGGAUGAAAGGGAGUACCUUGAAAACCUCGAACGGACACAGAUCAGAAUUAUCACAACCCUAUUGAAAGCAACACAAAACAUCAGUACCACAAGGAUAAACGAGCAAAGGGUUUGCUGAAGAACAUAACAAAGAUAGGAAUUUGGGGCAAAAGAAGAACAAUUGUAACCAUGUAAAAGUUGAUUAGACAAAAGGUGAGAGUAAAAUCUGUAAGAUUCACUGACAAUUGGACCAUGUAUGUAUAAAACAGCAUGGAAUUGCAAGUCUAUCUUGUAUGGUCUAAAAAUUUCUAUUUUUGCAGGUUUAAAUUCUCCAACUAUGAAAUAAUUCUAUUAAAAGUAAAAAUGAUGAUGCUGACAUUCAAAAGUUUUCAAUACUUAUAUGGAACAAAGAUAAUAAACUAAAUAGUAGAAAGAUGAACUGUGAUGAGACUCAAGAGAGAAGACAUCAUGACAACUUGAAGCAUGUUGUGAAUUAAGGCUUACAGGCAUUGGAAUGGGGUGUUCAUUGUGCAGUACUUGCACAAAGUACUUGCUUGAAGAGUUGGCAGGACAACUGUAUAAAACCAACAUGUUAUUCCCAGCAAAAGGUGCCACUGUGCUGCCCCUCCAAUUUCUUUUCUGGGGAGGCUUUGGAGGGUAUUGCAGGGGUUCUUCUCUUUGCAUUUGUUUAAAUUCUGAAAUAUUCAGCAGUUAACACCUAAGAAGACAACAUACAGCAAAGUAUACAAAGAAUAGUGGUGGUAGACAGCCAGUAUUUGCAUGCUUAUCAUAUAUGGUUCAUACACAGUUUACUAACAAAAGCACUCACCAGACUGCUCCAGAAAGAGCCCAAGAAGACAUGAGAAUGGAACCACAGUCUCAGCAUGGGCAAACCGAAGUCUUGCCUUUUCGUAACUGCCAGGAGCAUAGUUUUCUACAUGCAUAGAAGGCAAAGGCAACUAUAAUAUAAGGCAGGAACAAGUAUUAUGUCUUUAAUAUAAUGCAUUUUGUGAAGUGAUGAUUCAACUAGCAAAGAAAUGACAUAGCUGCUGAUAUAAUCCUAAAUAGAUUAAAUACCAGGAGCAAGAGGAGAAUAAUCUCCCAGUAACUCAGAGAGAGAAUAUUCUGUGAAUAUUUGGAGACAGCACUAUAGCAUUUGAAAUAACAACAGCCUACUAAUUUCACAAUUAUACAAUGCAGAUGAUAUUAAUUAUUAAUAGACAACAUCUAUGGCUCAAAUCCGGAAGUUAUUGAUUGCCACAUAUUAUUGGAAUCUGUGAGGGCACCUGAUAGUAUCAGAUUACAGCCCCUGCCUAGCCACCAAAUUCUAUGCCACCAAAGACAAUUGGGAAACAGCAGUUCAAUUGACUACCAAUCAAGCUGCUCCUUUGCGUCAUAACCCACACUACAUUUCAAACCUCCAUGCAAAUAGGAGGUAUUGGAUUGAAGGAUACAACAUCCAAGAGUAAAAUACACCCAAAAGCGUAGCAAAAAGAUCAGAUGAUUUAUGUUACCUUCCUUUGCUUUAAUAGCUUGCUCCAUGGACUGAAAAACAUCUUUAAGCAAUGGCACUCCCAUUUGGUAGUUUAGAGAUUUACCAUAACCCUUCAAUAUAAACAGCUCCAAAUCAUCUGUCCACUCCAACAAAGCAACCUAACCAUGUUGAUUUGGUUCCCAAGUUAGUAGCAAUAUAGCAUGGGAAAAACAAGGGUUCUUAAACUUGCAUCACUUAGCUAGUAUUAGUCUUUGCAAACCAACAGACCCAACAAAAGAAAAAGGAGGCACUCAUAUCAGAGGCAUAACAUAAAAACAUGUGUACCUCAGAAGGGCUGAAAAGACCACAAGCUUGAUCAGUUAUGUCCAGUAAGGAUGCUUCCUGCCAAGUUGUAAAACAUAAUAACACAGUGGAGAAAAGAAAAAAAAAAAGGAAGAGAGAGAGAGAGAGAGAAUAAUUAACAGACAUGAGAGGAUAGAAUUCUUCUGUCACAAAAUAAAAGGUACAAGAACGGAUAGUAAUCACCUGUUUGCACAAAAACCAGAGAGAAGACGUAUCCUGUCUGGUAAAAUUCAGCCCAUAACGCUUCCUUAAUGUAGCAGUAAUCUCAUCAAAGAUGGGUUCUUUGAGCUCAUCAACAGCAGGCUCCUGACUUUUCCUAAAAUCCUGCAUCCAUAGAUCCUUCAUAAUUAAAACCAAAGCAAUAAAUGUGCAUCAAAACCUGAUUAAGAGCAAGCUUUAACAAAUGAAUCCUCAACUGCCUGCUUCAGACUACUUUGACUUGUCAGCUAUACAGAUAGGUGAUGGUCAACAGUCUUGAGAAGCAAACAUAACCUCUAUAUAUAAUGUAAAGAAGGAAAACAUUACACAUGUACCUUGUAGUUUUGACAACAUUCAAAAAACCUCAGCAGUAUAUCACUGGCACGGCUCUCACUGGUAACGGCAAAAGCUCGCUGAUGCCCUGGUCCAAGACUUCCCCUUCCACUGAACAAUCCCAUCCCAAAUGCCACAGCACUAGCUGAUGCCCGAGGGACCUGUCUCAUGUGAAUGGAAAGAGCUAUGUAACACUUCUAACAGAAAAAGGACAACAAAAAAAUUAAGAUUGCAGUUACUGUGACCCAAUCAACCUUGAUUGGCAUGAGGAAGACUCAACAUAGAAGGAAGAGUAUAGGUAUUUAUGUUAACAAAAUUCAAUUAGCUGCCAAAACAUUCACCAUGGCAGUCUCCAAAAUGACAGUAACAUGGCAAAUAGACUAAUUUUUCAUCAUUUCUAAUGUAAGUUUCAACAGGGGGUCAAAGUGUAGAGACAUUUCAACUGAAGGGGAAAACCAAAACAGGACUAACCUGGGUUGCUUUUAUUGUAAAUACAUCUGGGUGGUAUUCCUCAUUAAACAAAUCUGGAAAUCUUUCUCGAAUUCUGAUUGCUAGAUGAUACAGUUCAAUUUCUCCAACAUCAGUAAGUUCUCCACCUGUUACCUUCCCCUUCCAAGGAGAUUUCCAACCCCAUAACCAGGCAGGAACUUUCUUCAAAGACAAAUUCUGUUCUUUCACAUCUCUUAGAAGUGAUUCUAGAUGAGUGGCCAAAUUGUCUAGUUCUCUCAUCCGUUUCUUGGUAGGAGAACGAGUCCCAUGCCUUGCCUGUGAAUUUGAAAUGGGAUUAGAAUUUUCCUUGCUCAUGAAAACAUAGAAAAGAAUUUCAUAAUAUAGAAUCAGUAAAUCAUCCUAACAUAAAGAACAAAGAAAUGUAGAAUUGCACAUAAAAGUAUUUCCCAUGGUAACUCCCAUAGAAAAUAUUCUAGCAUAUGAAUCAUUACUGUAAAUAGCACACACAAAUGUAUUUAACCAGAACACAAAAGAAACACCAUAAACAAAUUUUGUGCUUCUUUUCUAAACCUGAGGCAAUUUCCACUUCUAGAAUAGAUAUCACAAGUUCAUAUAACACAAGUUCCAACUAAAGACAUCCCUUUAGAUGUGGAGAUGUGGACUUGAAUGUCAUAAAUUUCAGUUCUAAACGAAUUAGAGAGUGGUUAAAAGAUAGAGGAGGUCACACACGAUGAGUGUAAUUCAUGCAAUAUUACUAGAUCAUGCAAUGGACAAAACUUCUAAAUCAUUGACUCUAUUCAAGUUUCACCAAAAUUUAUAUCUGCAAUUUUCAAUUGUCUAUCUACAAUUUAUCCAACAUUCUCAAAGCAUCAAAUCUUCACUACAAUUUGCUUUUGUGUCACCAUUAAGACUAUGAAGGAGACAUUUAAAAGACGAAUGCGAGCAUUAGAAACUGGGUGAAUAGGCAAAGAUGGCUUUUGAAAUCAAUGAUAUUACUUUUCAAAAUUUGAUGUUACAUUAUUUAUGUCAAUAAUGUUGGUCUGACAGAGAUAUACCAAGAGUCAAACUAAAUGACCAAAUAAGUAAAUUUUCACUAGCAAUCGAAGUUCCUGAGGAUGAUUACCACAAGAUUUAAGUGGAUGGGACUGCACCCAUCUGGAACUUUAGAAGGCACAAAGGCACUGUCAGCAAUAUCUUUCACAGCACCAUAUCUGCACAUACAAACAUUGCAAAUUUUAAGCAUCUGAGACAGUACAAAAACAUAAAUCUAGAUGCCAUUCAGGAACCCAGAAUAAUUUGACCAUGGAAAAUGAUGAGUUUCACAAACCAAAUCAACAAAUUGAUUCUCUCUACUGUGUUGGUGGUGUCAAUUUUUUAAAAAACAAUGGAAAUAGUUACUGAAGGCUCUAAACAGCAUUAUUCUUCAAAUAUUUGCCUCAGUGGAAGUGAAUUCUGCAUUUUCUUUGAAAUGGUGACAACAUAAAAACACAUAGAGGGGUGCCUGCUGGCUUCUUUCCUAGCACUAAGGGACUUAGACAAGGAGAUCCACUAUCUCCUUAUCUUUUUGUUAUGGGAAUGGAAGUGCUAGAUGUUCUCAUUAGGAGAGCCGUGGAGGGGGGAUUUUUAUCAGGGUGUAGCAUUCGGGGUGGCAGUAGAUCCUCUUUGAACAUCUUCUAUUUAUUUUUUGCUGAUGACACAAUUGUGUUCUAUGAGGCAAGCAAGGAGCAUCUAACUCACUUAAGUUGGAUUUUCCUCUGGUUUGAAGCUGCUUCAGGUGUAAGGAUUAACUUAGCCAAAAGUGAAAUUAUUCCAGUUGGAGAGGUAGAGGAGAUUGAAGAGUUGGCAGUUGAGUUAGGCUACAGGGUGGGAUCCUUGCCCUCUCAGUAUUUGGGUGUUCCUCUAAGGGCUCCUAAUAGAGCUCCUUCUAUGUGGGAUGGGGUGGAAGAGAGAGUAAAGAGGAGACUUGCACUUUGGAAACGGCAAUAUAUUUCCAAAGGGGGAAGAAUCACACUCAUAAAAAGUACUUUGGCUAGCAUGAAUCUAUCAAAUGUCUAUUUUCAGAAUGCCCAAGAUUGUUGCUAGAAGACUAGAGAAAGUGCAAAGGGAUUUCCUGUGGGGAGGGGGAAACUUGGGGGGGAAAAUCCAUCUAGUUAAUUGGGAGGUGGUUUGUACAGACAAGGACAAGGGUGGACUAGGCCUAAGGAAGCUAGCCAUAUUGAACAAAGCCUUGCUUGGCAAGUGGAUGUGGAGGUAUGCUUGUGACAAAGAUAAUUUUUUUUUUUGAUCAAUAAGUAUAAGAUUGUAUUGCAAAGAGGCGCUAAAGAAGCGACCCACCAAAUUACAGUAUAAAGGGACUUACCCCCUUACAAAAGGGCCCAAACAUCAAAGGACAAGGCAAAACAAAAAAACCUCUCCCUUAACGCAUACACACCCAGUCUAUAAAAUCUAUUAAGGUCGAAGGACCAUCUUUUAUCCACAAUUUGGAUUCCGACCACAAAAAAUACACAAAAGAUGCUUUCAGCCUUUGAAUGGACAGCCCACAAUCCUCAAAUGCAAUUGAAUUUCUAGCCUUCCAAAUAACCCAAAACAAGCAUAACGGUCCCAAUUGCCACGCCACCUUCCUUUUCUUUCCCACAAAGGACCCCCUCCACCCUAAAAGGGUUUCCUUGACCAAACGGGGGAAAACCCACGAAACACCAAAAAAGGAAAGGAACACCAUCCAUACUUCCCUCGUUUUUUCACAAUGGAUAAGAAGGUGGUCAAUUGUCUCCUCACUCUUAUGGCAAAGAAAACAUCUAUUUGCCAUAACCCAACCUCUCUUUUGCAAGCGAUCCAAGGUUAGGACUCUCCCCCAAGAAGCCUCCCACGCAAAAAAGCUCAAUUUGGGCUGCACACAAGAGUUCCAUAUAAUUUUUGAAGGGAAAAAAGCAAGAGACCCCGACUACAUGGUCUUAUACAAAGAUUUCACCGAGAAAUCCCCAUUCUUUGAUGCCAUCCACUUCACCUUAUCCUCCUCAUCCCCCCUAACCUUCUUCCCCUCCAAGCAACAAAAUAGCCUUUCCACUUCUUCCAACUCCCAAUCGUUGAAAGGUCUAUUGAAACAAGGGUUCCAACUUCCCCCUCGGCUGUCCACACUUCAUUUACCCAAGCCUCUUUGUUCGAAGCUAAAGCAAAUAAAGAAGGAAAAACCUCGCUCAAAGGAAUGGUUUCACACCAUUUAUCUUUCCAAAACUUCACUUUCUCACCAUCACCCACCACAAAGCCAACAAAAGGGGUCACUUGAUGUCCCAUUUUACUUAUUGCCUUCCACAACCCAAACCCGUAGGCCUCCCUAGGCUCACAAGAUCUCCACCCUCCUCUUUCCUCCCCGUAUUUCCCUUUGAUCACUUGGUUCCAAAGAGCCUUUCUUUCAUUUUCAAAACGCCACACCCAUUUGCCAAGGAGAGCCCUAUUGAAGGCCCCAAGACUCUUAACCCCCAACCCUCCGCUUCUUUUGUCUAAACAUACAAUUGACCAAUUUACUAAAUGUGGUUUUUGCACAAGAGCCCCGCCACCCCACAAAAAGUCCCUUUGAAUCUUCUCCAAUCUGAUUCUAACCACUCUAGGCAUCUGGAAAAUCGACAUAAAAUAAAUCGGUAAAUUUGACAAUGUACUACGCACUAGAGUAAUCCUCCCCCCUUUUGAAAUAUACUGACGUUUCCACAUAGCCAAUUUCUUUCUGAAUCUUUCUUCUAUUCCAUCCCACGCUGCAACGCUUUUAAACGGGGCACCUAACGGCAUUCCUAAAUAAGUGGAAGGCAGUUUUCCCACCUUGUAACCAAACUCAUCAGCCAACUCAUCCACAUUCUCGGCUCUACCAACUAGAAUCAGCUCACUUUUCUCCAGAUUUACUCUUAACCCUGAAAUUGCCUCAAACCACAUUAACAACCAGCCCAUAUACAAUAACUGAUCCUCCUUUGCUUCACAAAAUAUCAGCGUAUCAUCAGCAAACAACAAAUGUGAUAUCUGGACCCCUUCGCCUCUUCUUCCCUGAAUCAAACAAGGCGCCAAAAACCCCCCAACCACUGCCUUCUUUAUCAAAACACUGAAAGCCUCCAUCACCACUACAAAAAGGUACAGCGACAGGGGGUCUCCUUGCCUUAACCCCCUUGAGCUUUGGAAAAAACCCGUAGGGCUUCCAUUCACCAUAACUGAGUACCUAACAGUGGAUAGACACCACUUUAUCCACCUGCACCAUCUUUCCCCAAACCCCAUCUUCUCCAUCACUGCUAAAAGAAAAUCUCAAUCCAUGUGAUCAUAGGCUUUCUCAAUGUCUAAUUUACAGAGAAUCACCCCUCUAUUGCUUUUCACAAUGGAGUCAAUUGCCUCAUUAGCGACCAGCACUGCGUCCAUAAUCUGCCGUCCCUCCACGAAAGCGUUUUGGGACGUUGAGAUGACCUUGGCUAAGACACCCUUCAUUCUAUUAGCCAACACCUUAGCUAGCCACUUAUACAACCCUCCCACCAAGCUAAUUGGCCUAAAAUCCUUCAAGUCCUCUGCCCCCCCUUUCUUAGGAAUCAACACUAGGAAAGUUGCAUUCAAACUUCUUACAAAGCUCCCGGUCUCAUGGAAUUGCCUAAAGAAGUUCAUGACCUCUUCUUUAACAAAAUCCCACAAAAAUUGCCAAAAAGCCAUUGAAAAACCGUCAGGGCCUGGCGCUUUCUCGCCACAACAGCCUGACAAAGCCCUAAAAAUUGUAUUUCUAUCCCCCUCUUUCAGCAAAAUUUCCCUGGACUUCUGCCUCCAUGACGUUUCUUCUAAAAGGACCCACUUCUUAUACAUCUCUCUUGCCUCCUUCCUAGCUUCUUCCUCUUCCAAGGACAAUUCGCGAACCCUCUCUUCCUUGUCCCAGAAAUCCAAUGAAUUCCAAGCCUCUUGCUUCUUAACCUUAAUCUGUCCGAAAACCUCUGUGUUCCAUUUUUUCAGAGUCGGCUUUAAAGCCUUUAAUUUCUCGCUCAAAAUGUAACUGGCUGUCCCUCUAACUUGGAUCCCCUCCCACCAAUUCCUCAGCACCUCUUUGAAGCCUUCCUCCUUCAGCCACAUGUUCUCGAAUUUGAAAGGUGUGGGCCCUCUCCUCAUCCCCCCUCCAUCAAGAAUAAUUGGAGAAUGAUCUGAUACUGGUCUAGCCAAAACACCUUGAAUACACUCCCGAAAAUGAGCUUCCCAAUCUUCAGAGAUAAGAAACCGGUCAAUUCUCGAUUUUAAGAGAUUAUUAAAACCUCCACUCCACGUGAACAUCCCCCCCUGAAGAGGCAAAUCCCUUAACUCUAACUCCUUUAUCACUUCUGUGAAUCUCCGCAUUGAUGGGGACAGGCGACCUCCUCGGCUCCGCUUAGAAGGGAAUCUUAUCAUGUUGAAGUCGCCAGCAACACACCACGGUUCGUUCCACAGCCCUUUGAUGGCCCCCAAUUCGCUCAGAAACUCCUCUUUCUCCACCUUCACAGAGGGCCCAUAAACUCCUGAAAACGCCCAGCAAAAACCAUCCUCAACAUUCUUGAACCGACAAGAAACUGAAUAAUUGCCCACCUCCAUUUCCUCCAACUGCAGCACCCUAUUGUCCCAGAACACCACCACCCUCCCCGCCGCACCCCUUGAAUUCAAAGCCCCCCAUUCCAGACAUCUUCCUACCCCUAAACUCCUCACAAUUGCACUCGUCAUCUCCUGCAAUUUUGUUUCCUAGAGACACACUAAAUCUGCUUUCUGGGUUUUAAUCACAUCUUUAAUCAAUUUCCUCUUCUCUCUGUUAUUUGCCCCCCUUACAUUCCAUGACACAAUUCGAAUCCUCAUCUAACACACUCUUGAUACCCCCUGUCCCCUCCUGACCCGCUAUAAUUCACCGACCAUUCUAGUUUCUUCAACUCGCGGUCAAAUCUUGAGGUUCUCUGUCCUUUCCUCUUUUUUCCGCUUAAAUUCUCACUUCUAUCUCUUCUGUCCCUCAUUUUAUGGAGAAGUUUCAGAAUAUCCCUCUCACAGCCCUCUGUUGGCAUUCCCAAACAAUGGCAAAACUUUGCCAAACAGCUGUAAUUCCACGAUUCCAUAUCCUUUUCCUCGCCCCAUUCCUUCCUUCCUUCUUUUAGCGGGAAAAACCCGCUCAUACUCUUCUCUCCCAUUCUCUCUUCUGCCGAACGCAUGCUUAGAGGGUUGAUACUUAACCCCUCUUCGGUUUCCUUCAGAAUGACCUCAUGGCCACAUCUCUCCUCCAUCUCAAGCAAAGAACCCCCCAUCCCAGAGAAAGGAGAAAAAGAAGAAGAGGCCCGACCCCCCCACACGCAAACAGUCGAAGGCUUUAAGAGGGAAUACCUGGAAGCUUCCUCCAAAAAGCACUCGUCCGUUAUUGAGCAGCGCUCUGGUGUCCCUCUCGCCGCUGAUGGCCCCAUCCCUCCAACUAGUCUGUCUUCGGCGAAAAAUUCCUCAGCUGGCACAAGGCAAGACGAAGCCCUAGCAUUAACGCCGGGCUCAUCCCAGGGAGGCUUAUAAGCAAGCGGGGCCCAAACUGAUGCUAGGAUGGGCUGCCCCUCUCCUCCUGCCACUCUGGG